AGAAAUAACAAGUUUUUAAAAGGAUGACAUUAAUUUUUUUUUAAAUAGAAAUUAGACAUUGUGUAAUAAAAUUUAAAAUUUUUUAAAUUUACUCGGUUAUAAAUAAAUCUGUUAGAGAUUGUAAAAUAAAAUUUAAAAUUUCAUAAAUUUAUUCAGAUAUAAAUAACUAUGUGAGUAUUUGUGAGUGCGUGCCAUACAAGUUUUUUUGGGUGUUUAAAAUAAAUAAUCUCUAACAAAAAAAUGUUAAAUACAAAAUAAUACUAAGGAUGUUAAGCCUAUCUUAUUAACAUUACUAGUCCAUGUUAAGACUUAGACGAUCAUCACAUGACCACGGUCAACGUUGUACAUUGACCAGUAGCGAAGAGAGAGAGAAAGCAGGAAAAAAGAUAGAUUGUGUUAAAGAUUUGCAGCUUUCUGUUACGUGGGUGUCGUGUCCUGUCCUUUAAUGAAAAACCAUGGCAAGCGAGAACCAUGUGCAGCUGUAUUUUUCUAGACCAUAAUGCCCUCAUUCUCCUUCCAUUAUUCCCUACUAUUUUCUUGCUUGUAGUGCAAGUGCCACUUCCCUAGAGCUAGCUCACAAGGAACUACUACCGCUCACUUCCCUUUUCUUUGUUUUCUGCAAAGUUGAAAAAGCUUCUAUUUCUGAUUUCUCUCCCCUCUUUCUUCUUCCUUCAAGUGGAAGCUCGCAGAGGGAGAGAGAGAGAAAGAACGCUGAAAUAGGAAAGGGAAAAUGGGUAUCGGCACCAGCAACUUUGUGAUCAGAUGGAUCAACUUACUCACCAUGGUAUGCUCUUUCUUGUUUCGUUCUUUUGGUCUUUAUUUUUUGAGCUUUUCAGCUCUCAGAGGUAAUGAGUGCUCGUGCUUCAUUUUCCGAAAGCUGUUUGAGUUGAAGUUUGCUUUUUUCUGUCUUAUUUGCUUGAUUUUCCUUUUAAUCCUUCCUGCCAUUUUGUUUAAAUUUGGGUGUUUUCUCUCUGUCUACUUUUCAUAUAUUGGGUUUUUUCUUGUAUUAGUGUUUGUUUCGUGCUCUAAUGCUGUCUGUACAUUUUGUACUUCAGCUAAAUUUAUAUUUGAAGAUACCUGGAUACAUGGGUUUGCUCAAAUUUUUUGGGUUUUUCGCUAAAUUGAAACGUACUAGAAGUAAAAAUAUUGUCUUUGUUGUAUAACAUUGUGUUAUGAGAUCAUGCUUGCUUCCUUUUGUUUAGCUUUUAGCUAUUGCCGUCAUAAUUUUUGGAGUAUGGAUGAGCACACACCACGACAGCUGCCGGAGGUCUCUCACUCUCCCUGUGCUAGGCCUUGGAGGUUUCAUAUUUGUAAUGUAAGGUGUCCUUUCUCUGUUAUUGCAAAUUGAUGAAUGUUUUUGCCAUUUAUCUUUCUAUUUUUCCUGUAAAUGGUUAUAGAUUGUCUUUUUCUUGAUUUUUAGAUCAAUAAUUGGCUUCUUGGGCGCACUGAAGAACAACUCUAUACUUUUGUGGAUUGUAUCCUUACUAAAUGAAUUUCUGAUAUUUGUCUGCAAUUUUUUAAAUUCAAUAGUUUAUUUAUUCUUUAGUAUUUAUGGACAUGCCUUGACUGGUUGCUUACAGUAUCUGAUUAUGCUGUGCAUCAUUUUGGUGGCUAUUCUGGUUUUCACAGUAUUGGCGUAAGUAUUUUGGGUGGUCCUCAAUAUAUUUUCUAGAUUAGAUGAUAGGAUUGUUAGAUGGAUCAACUUCUUGCUUUAUUUUCUUCAACAUUUGAGUCUUGAUCUUUUAUAUUCAUGAGUUUGAUUGUCCAAUAUAUUUUGCUGUUUGCUUGUGAAUGCUUCAUUGGAAACAUAUAGCUUUGGGAGUAGUUCUGACUCCUACAUCUAUUACUCCUCUUGAUAGAACAAAUUUGCUAUUUGGUAUAAGCUUCUUUUGUCUUCUGCUACUUUAGUUUGAUAUCAUGGGCAGUGAUGGCACAUUCAGAAAUUCUUCUUGGAUAUUAGUGGAAGAAUCAAUGAUACCUGUGUUGUGGCUGCUUUUGUUAGAAAAAAGGAAUUCUUUUUUACUGAGACAGAUGUUUAUUGCUUCUAUAGUAAAAAGUUCAUAGUUCUAGGAUUGACUUAUGCAUGCUGAAUUUCAUGGAUGUAUUAAAAUUCCUUACUUUUCACUUGAUCAUAAACAGUAUCCCUAGGGUGUACGCAUAGUCAUACUUGUAGGAUAACAUUACAUUAAGAGGAUAAUUCAGUAAGAACUAGCAGUGAAUUGUGAAAUUUUAGUUGGAACUUAGAAUGCUCUAGGAAUAAAAGAGAUUAUAUUUAGAGAUGUGAUAGGUGAUAUAAUGAGAAUGAGAUAAAGGGAACUUUUUCCAUCUGGGCCUUGGAAAUAAUCUUGAUUUAAUCUGUAAGUUGAGUAUUUGUUUUUUUAGAUUCGGGAAGUUAUAUCUUUCACUUAAAUUGGGGCGAUUUUUCUCUGAAAAAGAAAAUCUCUUCAAGUCAUUUCUAUAUCUCAACCACCAAAUCUCUAUUGUCAUUAUUUGAAAUAUGACCAGCAAAAGGCUUUAGUACGAGAAAAAUGUGAGACUGCUGGCUGUAUCACAUCAUAUAUAGCAAGAGCAGAGCUUUAUCCUAAACCCAUAUUAAACCAAAAACACACAAUUUAUGUUUUCUUCUUCGUCGUUUAAGAGUCCAGUUAAAGAGCAGUUGAAAAGUUUAUGGAUUCAUGUUGUAAUAUCUUUUGCAUAUUUUAUCAUAUAUUAUGAUUUUUUUGUGUGGAACUUAUAAUAAGCAUGUUUGCAUUUUCUUUGACUUUCUUAUAGGUUUAUUGUGACAAAUAAUGGAUCUGGUCAUUAUGCCCCUGGUUUGAGGUAAGAAAACAUAAUUUUGAAAACUGUUGUCUGUGUUUAUCUCUCAUUUUUAUAUUCCUCAAAUCUUACUGAAAGCAACAAGGGGUAAAAUGAAAAUAAAAUCAUAUGGUAACAUCAUUUUCCGUCUGAUCUUCCAAUAUCUCUCUCUCUUCCCCUUUUCCUUCCCCAAAGUCCUUUUCACCUUGUUUGUAAAACAGUAUAUUUAACCCUCUGUUUGGAAAUAAGAAUUUCGCAACAAUUCAAUUCAAUUGAUUUCUUUUCUAAUAAUUUUCUUAUUUGGAGGGAAAGAAUUCAAUUCUUUUUAACUUGAAAAACCUGCAUUGUAGAAAUCUUGCAUGAGUUUACAAGAAUUCAUUUGAAAUAUUUUCUUGCAAAACCAAUCGUGCCAAAUGAGGGGUAAUGGAAUACAGCAUGCAUGGCCUACUCAAAUUGGUGGGUGACAGCUACUGAUAUAUACUUGUCUGCUCAGGUAUAAGGAGUAUGAACUUCAGGAUUUUAGCUCAUGGUUUCUUAAACAGGUAAAGCUAUUUACCUUAUCAACAGUGUAUGGAUCUGAUGCGUGUCUACUUUUUGGUGCACACAGCAAUAUAAAUUAAAAUGUUGCAAUUGUGUUCAACUUUGUUCUUCACUUCAGCUGAAUGAUACUCAAAAUUGGAAGCGAUUGAAGAGUUGUCUUGUGAAAUCUGAUGACUGCAAUAAUCUAUCCAAGAAAUACAAGGUUCAUAAGUUAGCUUCAAAUGAUGAUAAUUCAUUGAUAUCCAAAUUCCUAACAGAAAUUUAGGUGCUUUCACUUGUUGGUUGCAGACCCUUAAGCAGUAUAAGUCGGCAAAGCUGACCCCUAUCGAAGCUGGUUGCUGCAGGCCACCGUCUGAGUGAGUAGUUCUGUUGAUUUUUUCCCCCUCUCCUUUCCUGUGCAAAUCUUCAAGUGUGCUUUACUUAUCAUGUGAAAUUAGUGAGAUAACAUGUUCCCUUGUUCCUUUUGUCGAUGUUAUUAGACUUUUAUAUGAUAGCUGAUAGUAUAUUGAUAAACUUGAGAAUCAGUUUUAAGAAGUUACUUCUGUUCAACUUGCUUCAUAGAUGUGGUUACCCUGCUGUCAGCGCUUCAUAUUACGAUUUGAGCUUCCAUCCAAUAAGCUCCAACAGGGACUGCAAACUUUACAAAAAUUCAGGAGCUACCAAAUGCUAUAAUUGUGAUUCCUGCAAGUAAAUAUCACUUCUAAAUGAGUUUUCCACUUCUGUUUUCCAUUAUAUAGGAUGCUUUAUACUUGCUUUCAAUCAUGUUUUCAGGGCUGGAGUUGCACAGUACAUGAAAACUGAGUGGAGAGUGGUUGCAAUCUUUAAUGUGAUUUUAUUUGUCAUCUUGGUAAGUCAAUUCUUCUCAUCACAUAUGUUAACUUUCCAUUUUGUGUUUGUGUUAUUUUGAAAGUGAAAAGGCUCUCGUUUUGUGUAAUGGAUUGAACUAAGGUAUUCUUCUCACAAAAUAUUAGCAUUGAUGGUUUAUUUGUUUAAAUAAACCUCGACGAUGAUUCUGUUAUUCAUAUUUCUGUUCUAAUAAUAUCUUAGUGUUGUUCUGACAUUUUUUUUUCAAAACUUUUGUUCAAUAUGCUCUGAAAAUACCAGUCAAUGAUUUACUUUGUGGGAUGCUGUGCAAGACGAAAUGCUGCUACGAAUCACUCUAAAGCUUGAAAGAUGACCUUUGUUGAAAACGAUAGUCAUUUAUUUUUCCUGAGAUUAUAAUGAUUAGUCUAGUGGAGGUUCUUCCACCGUUGGAAGAAGGGAGAGAGAGGAGCAGUUGUAAAUUCUGUUGUGUAUUGGAUUGGAAGUUUUGGCCUGUGGCCCUCUCUGUCUGUAAGCAAUGCCUGUAAUCAUGUGAAAUUUACAAAUCUACUGGUAAAAAUGUCAAAAAGUUUUUUCAUCACAUACUUUUCAAGUGACUUUUGCAUGGAUUUUGUGAUAUCUGAUAGACUAGUUUAUAAAUUAGUAACCAUCUGUAUUUUUUCCAACUGGGGUAAACUUCCAAUAAGAAGAGCAGAAACAAGGAUUGCAAGAGUAGCAGGUAGCAUUACAUAGCCAAUCUACAGGGCAAGAGAAGUAGGCAGAGUUCUUUUAAGCUUCCUGAUAGACAUGGCCAAUGCUCAUUAUUCUGGCUAUGCUUCUGGCCCCUGCAUUGUCUAAACCCAGCCCAAAAGCUAUUACCUAGUCUACUGCUCUAUUCUCUCUUUUUUUUUUUUUUUUUCCUCAGCUUUUCAAUUUCGUCUUUUGUUUUCUCUUAUUUAUCUUGUCUGUUCGAAUCUUGGCAAGACCAUUUGGAUAGUUUUUAACAGAUGGGUGAAUUUGGAUUAAAAUUUAUAUAUAUAUAUAUAUAUAUAUAUAUAUUCUCCCGUGGAUACUUUUUUUUAUAUUAUUAUUAAUAUAAUUUGACUAUUCAAUUUUAUCUUAUUUUUAAUAUAAUUUUUUAUUUUUUAAACAAUAAUUCAAAUAAUCUCUUAAUAUUUAAUAAAAUUUAAUAUUUUCAUUUAAUAUUAAAUUAAUCAAAUACUUGCAGAAAAUUUUUAAUUGAUAUUUUAAUAAAAUAAUUUUAUCUUAUAUUUUAAUACAUAGCAUAAUAUGAAAAAUGCAUAUAAAGUCAAUUAAAUAGACAAUACAUGUAUACAUUCAUUAUAUUGUCAAAGUAAUAAAUUUCAUUAGAUUUUUUACUUUUUUAAAUCAAAUAAAUAAAAAUCUCCAAGCAUUUCCUUUUUUUAAAUUUUACCCUUUUUUAAGUUUAUUAUUUUUAAUCUAACUUAUUUAUAUUAUAACAAUUUUAAUUUAUUGCUUAAAAAAAACAAUUUUAAUUUAUUUAAUAAGGAAAUAUACAUAUAAAGCUUAAAUAACUAUAUAGCACAUGAAAAUAUUUCUCCUAUGUAAUUGAAUAUUAAUAAGCAUAAGAUUUUUUUCAAUUAUUUAGUUAAUGAUUAGAAAAUUAAAAAUAUUUUAUUUAAAAUAAAUAUCAAGAUAUUAGUAUUUUUAAUUAAGGAAAAAUAUACAAAAAUAUAGCUUAUUAUUUUCUAUAUGGAUAUAAAUGUAAUUAACAAAUUUAGAUUUCUAAAGUUACAAUUAAUAAUAAAUUAAUUAAUAUUAAAGUUUCAACUUAAUAAAAUCUCAAUUGAUUCAAUAAUAAUGAAGAAAAAUAAGAAAUAAAAAAUAAAAAAAUUUGUAUGGAUAUAGAUAGAUGUAAUUAAUAAACUUAGAUUUCCCAAAUUAUAAUUAAUAACUAAUAAUAGAUUAAUUAAUAAUAAAUUUUCAACUUGACAAAAUUUCAAUUAAUCCAAUAGUAACGAAGAAAAAUAGGAAAGGAAUUUUAAAAAUUUGUAAAAAUUAGAAAAAUAAAAUACUAAAUAAAAAGAGUACCACUUUGUUCUUUUGUUUUAGCUUUUAUAUAUAUAAUAUAUAAAUAUGUAAUUUAAAAAUUAAUAAAAAAAUUUUUAUUUUUAAUUAAAAUAUUAAUAAAUAAAAUAAAUAAAAAUUAUGGGGCAGUUGAAUAUAUAUAUAUAUAUAAUAUAAUAAAAAUGGAUUCUUAAUUGCUACAAUCUAUGAACGGUAGCAAUUAGAACAGUGUAUUGAUUCCUUUAUCCUCUAAUCCUCUCUCUCACGCGUCUUCGGUUUUUGCCCUAAAUAAUUUGUAAUUCUAAAAUUACCCUUCCAUUCGCAUAUUCACAGUGUACUUUACCCGGUUCCAUCGUCUUUUCCCUUCAUCGAAACGACAGUGUUUCAUUGAGAAACUAUUUCAGAGCUGUUAGCUCCUUCUCUCGACAGUGUAUGGCCAUUCUCUCGUCGCUCCGUCAUCUCUCCAUGGGAUGGUUGCGCCCUUGCGCCCGUCUACCCACCAGCGUCUGCCUCUGCAGUAUCUCACCUUUGCGCCUUCUGAAACCUCCUGUUUCUCACUUCUCCCCGUCCAAGUAUUUUAGCGCCUUUGCGUGCGUCUACACAACGUUCUCCUCUACAAUAUCUCACUGUUGCGCCCUCAAAAACUCCGCUUCGUGCUCACUGCCCAAGAUUCAGCCCAUACCCUGUUUCUAUCUUCUCUUCGUUCAUCUAUUUCAGCGUCUCCAUGCGCGUCUGCUCACCGGCGUUCUCCUCUGCGGUGUCUCAUCGCUGCGCCUUUGAAAGCCCCUUUCUUGCUCACCGCCACAACUUUCAGGCCAUGACUUGUUUCUCUCUUCUCCCCAUCCAUGCACUGUCGUGCAUUUGUGAGGGCGCGACUGUACGCAGGUCUUUGUAUUUUGCCGUCUGUUCUUUUAAUGGCCGCGUAUUGAAGCUCUUUUUAUUUUUUCUUGCUUUGGCCACUAUUGCCUAUUUAUCUCUGCAUCGUUUUCUUUACUGUUGUUUUUCCUCAGAUCACUGAUAAGUUGUUUGCGUUGCUGUGUGCUGAGUAGUGCAAUUGAAAUUUCUUUUUGGUUUUAAUAUCCGUGUAUUAUUAUGUAUGGGUCUUGUAUUCUAUUAGCGUCGACUUGACUCCAUUUGUUUCAAAAAUGUCUUAAUGCACUGGUACUCUCUUUGGUAAGUAAUUCCAGACGUAGCUUCCGUUGGAGGUUUGGCUUUAUCUUAGCUACUGUUUUUUUUUUUAUUUAGCUUUAAUUGUUUGUUUUUUCAAUUUUUUUACGGGUAGUUUAUUAGAUAUGACAUAUAAAUACUCAUUCAAUAUUAUUCAAAAUAUUAUUAGCUCUUUUAAUGGAUUUAAUUGUUAAUUGAUCAUUUAAUAUAAAUUUAUUAACUUUUUUAGUUACAUACUAAGUAUCUGUCGCUCUUCUAUAAUUAUUUCUAAAUUUGGCAAGAUAUCACUAAUUGUAAAAUUUUCUCAGAGAUUCAAAGGUUACGUACUUAUUUUUUUCUAUAAAUAGCAAGUCAUUUUAUCUGUAUGGUUGUCUUUCAAAUUGUUCUUCUAUAAUUUUUUUUGCUUUCUUUUCUUAUCUUUUCCAUGACGUUUUCUUACUAACUUCUCAUUCUUUAUUGUGCAGGGUUGCUAUCCUAACUUGGUUUUUCUUUGGUAUCGCUGCUGCUGUGGCUGUGGUUUUUGCUGCUGUUGAUUUGCCUUGUCUUCCUUUUUAUACUGCUGCUGUAGCUUUCCUUGAUAUUAUUCUGGUAUAUAUAUAAAAGCUGAGAAGUGUGAAUAAUUUAUAAAUUAUUAUUAUUUUAAAUUCACUUUAAAGUAUUGUUAAUAAGUAAAAUGGUGUAAUUUAAAAUCUAUAAUUCACAUGAGUUUAAAUAUUGCUAUUUAAACAAAAUAUUAAUUAAUUUUAUUUUUCACAAUUUACUUUAUUUUAAAUUUAUUAUUUCAUUUUAUUUAUUUUAAUUUGCACUUAAUUUUUUGUUAUAUUUGGUUUACUAUACUUAUGUCAUAAUAAAAAUAAUCUUUUUAUCUUAUAUUUUUUUCCAUUUUAUUUUUUAUAUAAAUUAGAAAAUAAUAGUCAAUUAAAUAUAAGUUUCAUCCAUUAACUUUUUAAUUAUGUCAUUUUUAAUAUAAGAGUAGGAUAUUUAAGUUUUAUUAAAAUCAAUCGGCAUAUGUCUUUCCUCCAAAGGUUGAGCCCAUGCGACUACCCCCUCUAAUACUAUUGAUAAGGGCUCAUUCCGAGUUGGGCCGUCCUCUAGUGGCCCGCAAACUAAAAGAUUUGCCAAUAAAAAUCCAAUGAGACCUGGUGCUGAAGGUAUUGAGACAGAUAUUACUUCUACUUCUACCAAUUUUUCUUUUUCUUUAGUUUUGAAUAAAGUGGCUUUCUAACCAUGCCAACACUCAUGCCAAUGAUAACCUCGAUUUUCCUAAUGUGAUUAUGUGAAGAAUCAAUUUUCGUAUCUUUCUACUCCUAAUAUUGAUAAGAAUCUAGAAAUGAAUGAGAUUUAAGAGAUGAACAUUGUUUCGGAGACUCCACUUGAGAGGGUUUCGGAGACUCUACUUGAGAGGGUAAUGCUUUAACCUCUAGUAUGAGAAAAAAAUGGUCAAUUGAUGUCUUCGUUUGGAAGAUUAUUAUUACUUAUAAGUUAAUGCUGUUGAAGUUAUAUGAUUUUGUAGUUUUGAUUAAAAGCUUAAUACCUCUCCAUAUUAGGUAAAAAAAAAUAUUGAGAAAUAAUUUGAAUUUGCAUUUAUAAAAAUUAAUGAAAAAUUAUGCUAAAAAAGUUUUGUCCCCUUAAAAUUCAAUAAGAAGCAGAAGCUGACAAAAGUCAAAACCCAUGACUAAAGCUCUUUCCGCUGGGGCAUAAACCCUAAACUCUCCCGCUCAUCUCGUCUUCCUCUGGUGCGAACCAUGCUGUCCCCAAUUUUCCUCCAACUUCCCAGAACCAUCUCAGACCAACUCCGAACCCGAAUUUUUGCUCGGCUUAUGGGUGGGGGUCCACGGACCUUCCCUGGCGGCCUAAACAAAUGGCAGUGGAAACGCCUCCACGAGAAAAGAGCUAGGGAGAAAGAGAAAAGACUACUCGACCAAGAGAAACAACUAUACCAAGCCCGAAUCCGCUCUCAACUCCGUGCCAGACUCGCCGGAAAACCUGACCUGGAUCCCAACUCGGAUACGGACACUUCUUACGGCCCUAUGACCCCCAAGGACCAAAUCAAAGCCCUUGCUGAUCGUUUCAUGACAGAAGGAGCUGAAGACUUAUGGAAUGAAAACGAUGGUCCGUUGAAAACUCCGUCGCCCAAAUCAAUUGAAAGGCCAAGAUCCAUUGGGCUGAAUCAACGGCCGGGAUCGAUCAAUUCGCCCAUUGAUUUGAGGAAACUGAUGUUAGAGGCUCGUAAUGAAUCGCAUAAUUGCCAAAGUUUUAGCAAGGAUUAUAAUUACAUCAAAGCAAGGGAUUAUUCAGUGCAGAGAUGUUCAUAUAACAUGGCAUUUUCUUCGAGUUCUUCCAGCGAUGACGAGGAUGAAAAUUAUGGAUUUGAUUCCUUUAACGAGGGGGAAAGGCAAGGGGAGAUCUGGAAUGGAGCUGCUUUGAGGAAGUAUGAUACGAAAAUAACGAAAAGAGUUCCACUGAAGGAGCUUGAGAAGGAGUCGGAUUUUGCGAGUUGGCUGAAAAUGAUGGAGAAUAGAGUGAGACAGGCGAGGAAGAAUCGAUUCUCUGUCAGAGAAGGUAAGUGAUGGGGUACUUAUUUUUAUCAGUGAUUGUUAGCAGCCGGAGAAUUUGAUGUUUUUUCAUAUCUUCAUAAUUUUCAUUCUGCAAGUGCAUAAAGCCAUCUAUAUUGUUGUGCCAGCAACUGGACAAUCUACGGGGUUGAUUAUGUACUGCUGGAUGCAUGUCAUAACAAUGGAAUAUAAUGCCACUGGAUUGCCUUUUUCUUGACAUAUGCAGCUAAUUUUACGUCUUCUCCGUUGAAUGUACAGAGUUACCAUCUUUAUAUUGUGCCUAAGCCUGGGCCAUAUUUUGACAUGUCAUAUUGGCACCACCUAAACCAUGUCAAAUUCUUGAAGAAAAUUCCAUAAACACCUUCAAUUGCAUGUCUCCCACGAUUUUAGUCUCUUGUGUCUACUUGUUAGUAGGGUAUAAAUUUGUGCUUGUUUCUUGUGUUUGACCUUUGAAGGUGAUUUACUUUCUCAGGUGAAGGAUUCCAUGUCAAAGAUUGAUAGUUGUGUCAAAGAAGCAGGAUGUCAUGUUUGGCUAGGUUAUCAUAAUUCAAUCAGGGAAAUCUGCAGGGACAAAACAAUGCAUGUUGAGAUAUAGCUAAUCGAUUUCUCAGUCAAUAGGUUUACAAAGGCCCCCUCCUUUGUUCAGGAAAACAGUACUAAAGAUGGGUUUGAAAGACAUCCCUGGCAUACAAAUUCGAGCAUGACAAUAACUGGGAGCCAGGUAUACUAACUUCUGCAUCAUGCGGCUAGCGUGAAAAGGGACUGAGAAUUAUUGCAAAAAGACCAGGUUCAACUUUUAUUCAGCCUGAAAUGUUUAUGCAUGCUAGGCUGCUUCCUUUUUUAUUUUCUGCGGCUAGCGUGAAAAGGGACUGAGAAUUAUUGCAAAAAGACCAGGUUCAACUUUUAUUCAGCCUGAAAUGUUUAUGCUUGCUAGGCUGCUUCCUUUUUUAUUUUCUUGGUACUGUAAGGUCUUCCAAGCUUUGUCUUGCCAUUUUGAAGAGUUCCUGUUGCAUUAAUUUGCAUCACUUGAUUAAUAUAUUAGGAUAGGGUUCGGAUAAGGAACAAAGAUCUAAUGGUGGUUUCACUUUGUACCACCAUGAAUUGAUUUAUGCAAUGUUGUAUGUUCAUCUUCAUGAUUUUAUAGAUUGAUUAGUUGAUGAUCUUGAGCUGCACCUUUUCCAUAUCUUAUUAUUAUUUUUUGAAUGGAAUUUAUUAUUAUUAUUAUCAUGGUUGUUAAACCCAGACUAGCCGGUUGGACCAGGUUAACCAGAAUCUGGAGCCUGGUCAGUUUCGGUCUAACAAGCAAACCCUCUUUUCACAAAACUGGAUUGAACCAGCCAGAUAACUGGCGAACCGGACAACCCGGCUGGAUUUGAACUGAAUAGUCCAGCCCGAUCACUGAAAGAAGAAGUCAAAUUGCAUCAACAACCAAUUGAUCUACAGGCUCCUUGUGAUUUUAUCUUACAACAAUCAUUCUUAACUAAAAUUGUAAUAAAUAUAAUUUAUAUUAUAUUAAUAUAAAGUAAUUUAUAAUUCACUUGCAAUUUAAUGAUCGAUGAUGUCAAUACUUUGUUUUAUUAGUAUAUUAAUUUAAAUUAUUUACUUAAUUUUUAUACAAUAUAAAAGUACAUAAUUUUUUAUAUUUAUUAUGUUUUAUAACUUAAAUAUAUUAAGGUUUAUUUUUCAUUGUUAUAAAUAAAUUUAUUUCUAUAAAAUUUUAGUCUUAAUUAUUUGUUGUUAUAAAUAACUAAAUAUUAAAAUUUUCUGUUUGUUGUUUUAUAUAAUUUUAAUAUAGUAAUAUUUAUUUUUUAUUUGUUAUAAUAAAAUUUUAAUUCUAAGUUUUUCUCUAUUAUAUAUAAUUGAAUAUUAUUGUUUAAAAUUUUAAAUUAUUUCCUAAAAAUAUCUGGAAUUUUAAGUGAACUUAUUUUAAUAAUUAUUUGUAAAAAAUGUACACAAGCAUUAAUCAUAAUAAAAACAUUAUUAUUAAUUUUAUAAUAUUUAUUUAAUAAUAUUACGAUUGAAUUCUAGUUCAACCAUGUUGAAUCUUAAACCCUUAACUCUUUGCUCUCGUUGAAAAGAUUGGAUUGGGUUUAAAAACAUUUAUUAUUAUUAUUAUUAUUAUUAUUAUUAUUAUUAUUAUUAUUAUUAUUAUUAUUAUUAACUACUUAAGAUUUGGAUGUGAUCUUGAAUCAUGAAAAGUAAAGCAGCUUAUUACCUUUUUAAACUCCUCGACUCUAACAAGUACUUGGAAGCCCUUGAAUGCAAAAUGAUAAUACAUGUGAAAAAUCUUAUUGAGAGUCAAUUUUGGAUUGCUUUGUUACAGUUGCUAGAAGUGAAUACUUAGAUGACUAGAGCUUUAUAUGCAUAGAAAUAAUAGAAAGAACUGUCAAUUUUUUCCAUUAGCAGAGUUGCCUAUUGGGUUCUGUGCUAAUGUGAUUGAUCUUCUCAGCUUAAAGGUAAAGUGUUACACCUCCAAUAUGAAAAUUUGAACUUCAUCCAUUAGAAAAUCCGAGUGUUCUGUAAGAUAUUUUUUGUGGAGGGAUCAUUAUUAUAUCCUUGGUGGGUGUUAUUGUUUCGUCUCCUUCACAUGGCCUUAGCAUAAUAAAAAAUAUUGUUCAUCGUUGAUCUAGCUGUAAGAUUAACAUUUUUCCUUGAAAUGUUCACUGUUUAAUAACAAGAAUUAAACAUGUGGCCUUUAUAUCUUAGAACAGAAUCUAUAUAUACCUCCGACCAGACCAAUUUAGCCAUGAAUUGCUUGAACUUGAUCUGUUAUGAUGAACCCGUUGCCCUUAUUUUCACUAUCACAGUUGCUUUCGUGAGAAAUUAACAAAUUCCCUUGUUUUCAUCUUCCAUUGAUAUCAGGCAAAUCAAAGUCAAUUUUACUUUGGUCACUUCACUUAUGAAGGGUCCAGUAAUACUAAAUUUUUGAGAACCAACCCACUCGUCCAGGUUCAUCAAAUCCUUGUCAACACAAAUAAGGUAUUUUUUUUUUUAAUUUCAAAUUACCAAAAUGAACAAACCUCAAAAGGAAAAAAACAACUGCACCAUAGUUGGAAAGGGAAUUACAUGGAAAUGACAAAUCAGAUUCUUGUGGUAAUAUGAUAUUUAAAAUUGCCAUGACAGAUUUAUUGCUAUCUAUAACUGCUAUCUGAGGAAAUCCAACGGUAAACAUUUUAAAGUUGAUAUCUCAGUACUUACCUUCCUAAACAAACAGAGAGGUACACACAACUCUGUUUUUUAGUACAAUAAAAUUGAUAACCCGAAAGCUGCAAGACCAAAGUUACAUUCUCAGACUCUGAAACAUGAACAUUAAUUUUAUAUUGGAAAAGAUGGAAAAAGAAAAAGAAAAUAGAUAAAUGGUGAAACAGAAAGAUAAGAAACUAAAUUUUCUUUCUUGGUAAAUAAAGCAUCUUUUGUUGCAUAUGAAGUUAGCCACAUUGUGAUUUGGGUUAUGAAAAUUAGCAAGGUGUCAACAGAAACUCAACAAAGAGUCACUAUUCCCCAGCCACAGCACUUCUGGCAUUCAAGUUCGCGUAAAUAAUAGGGUGCUUAUAUUAAUUAUAUGAUCUGCUUGCAUGAAAUGGUAAAGUGGACCCUUAGUCGCCAACUUGUCACAGUUCCAUUGGCCCUUAUUCAAGUGGACCUGUGCUGUUCUCCCCUCUUUCAAUUUGACUAACUUCAGAGAACAUGUGUUUGUUUCACUGCUUGUAUAAAUCAAAUUAUCUCAUUUAUAUUUUCACUCCUCCCAAACAAAGGCAGAAACUAAAAAAAAAAGUUCUAAGCAUCAAAGCAUUCUUUCUCACUGGAGGUUAGUUCAUUCUUCAGCUGAUAUAAUUUGCUUUUCUGUUUUCAUAUGAGGGUUGAUUUAUUUGCCUCUCUUAUUCCCAUUACUCAUUAGAGGGAACAUUCUAUUUUUUUCUCUUUGUGAAAAAAGCAAAAGGAAAGGAGAUGUAAGUACCACUGGCAGUUAAGGCCAAAUUUUGAUUGUGUAAAGAACCAUCUUAUUUGAUCUUUGGAGAGUUUGUCGUCUUGUGAUCGAAGAUUCGCACUUAAUAAUGAAAUGACAGAUAAUAAUAUAAUCAAUCAAGUUUUUUAUAAAGACGUUCUGAAAAAGCACUUCAUUUUCAGUUUCUUUGAUUGCACGAAACCCUUCAUUGUGGUGUGUCUGAGUCUGUUGUUUCUGUAACCUUCUACAUAUUUACAUUUAGUUUUUACGUAUUUUCUUUAUCAACCAUCAUUGUGCUUGUUUGGAGAAAUCCAUAGGGAUUGGUUAUGAAUUUGCAGCUCUUUCUUUUUGAAAUAUCUCAACUAAGAAAAGAUUUUCUUUUCUUAAGUGUGGUAACAACUGAAAAGGGAAAGCCUUAGGGAUUAGUUAUGAAUUUGCAGCUCUUUCUUUUUGAAAUAUCUCAACUAAGAAAAGGUUUUCUUUUCUUAAGUGUGGUAACAAAUGAAAAGGCAUAUUAUUUAGUGGAUGCAUGACAUUCUGUCUCAGUUAUGUUACUAGAAUAUCAUCAAAAUGGUUUUCAUUUUAUCUGUCAACUAACCAGAGCAUGUUUAAAAUGAUUCUUAUACUCUGUAUGACUUCCAAAUUUCUCAAUUUAUUCCAGCCAGUUUCCCUAGUUCUCUCUCUCUCUCCCUCCCUCCCUUCCCGUAAUCUCUGAGUAUUUUGUUAGGUUACUCGUAGUUGUUUGUGUGAACGUUCAUGUGACUCAAUAGUCAAAUUUAUCUCAGUUCUUUCUGAAAGUUAAAGUUCUCGUUGUGGAUAAGUUUGACUUGUCUACCUAGUCUUUAAAACCACAAACUAACUCAGAUCUUCUAUUUACUUUUUAGCAUAAAUACAAGGUCCAUGAAGCUCUAAAUACGAAAAUAUGGCAAUUAUAAUAAGAGUUGUUAUCUAUUGAUAGAUAUCAUUGAUUUUGAGGGCGAUUUUCCGUAUCAUUUACUGCCGAUAGUUCCCAUAAAAGGAAAGUGAACUAAUUCAAAUCGUGAUCAUUAAUUUUUCAUUUAAAAAAAAUAUUUCUUUACAUUUGCUAGAAAAAAUUUUGUUCUGAGAAAUCAUAAUAUGAUGUCUGAUUAGCUUUCUCAAAGGUUUUUGUAUAAUUUUAAAGCCUUCUUAGGAUUCUUUAUCAAAGUCCUUGAUGUGUACUUGAGACUGUUUAUUGACAACAAAUUACUGGAAUCUGUUUAAGCUAUUUUUUUUUCUUUUUGUUGUCUUGCAGUAUGACUGCGAUCUCUAUAUAUCUUGCAUAGGAAACAUUGAAUUGUAUCACAUGGGUGGGAAAGAGUUACUUUAUUAAGAUUAAUGCAGUUAUUUAUUAAGAAUUCCUGUAAAUGCAUUUUUCCUUUGGCACUUAUAAUAGAUUUUUUGUGGUGGUCCUUGCACUUUUUUGUCAAUAUCAUAAUUGAAAAUGGAAACGUCAUUAUUUCUAGCUACUUUAAUCUAUAUUAUCUGAUUUACAACAACGAAGCAUAAGGUGUCUUUACCUGGGAAGAACAGAUAAAAACUGUAUUUCUUGUUCAUUUCCCAAGUUCAAUAUAAUGAAUUCUUUGAGCAUAAAAGUGAAGAAAACUGUGGGAAAAUGAUUCAAAAUUUUAAAAUGAAAAGAUUUGUUUCUUACUGCCAAACAAAAAAUCAAGUUUCUUUCUUGAAGAACAUUGCAUUCACUGUCUGAAAAAAGAAUUACUAGAGAUUAUUUUCUAUUAGUGUUUGCAGUUCUUUUUUUUUUUUUUUUUUUUUUCCUAACAGAAGCAAUUCUUGAAUUGAAAAUGUCAAAAAUUAGGAUUUCACUAACAGAUUAUGUGAAUUUAUGGCGGGCAGCCAUGACAUACUCUGAAGGACAACAUGGCUUGGUACACUUCUGAAAGAAAUCAUUAUUUAGCAGUUAUCUUUAAUGUGGAUAUAAACAACUGUGUUCCACCGUCAAUCUUUCAGAGGUAGAGCAAAUGUGAGAAUAUAUCUUACAGUGUGAUUGACAUGUGAGAUGAAAUUCUACCAAGACAUGUAUUUCUCCAACAAUUCGUACUACCAUCUGAAGGAAACAAAUGGAGGAAUGCAGUAAUAUUAAGUCUUAAGGGCUUGGAUUUCAUUUUAAGUAGUCAUGGAUCAUCUGUUAUGGAGCAUUUUUACACCUCAUGGUGUGGAUAUUUCCUUCCCUUCCAUAACUGUUGUUAGGUUUAACAUUCCAUUUACGGGAAAAAAAACCAUUACAUUUAGGGGAAAAAAACCCAUAGAAUUGUUGGUUGCAUCCAGGAAUUGCAUCUGUGUCCUUCAAAUAUGAUUUCCAUAAGGUAUGGCUUUUCUAAUUCUUAGUAUUUUUCUAGAACUGUGUAGUAGAUUUUAAUCUGUCUUACAUUUAAGAUGAAAAUAAUUGCAUUCCUGUAUUCUGCAUUUGUCUAAUUUUCCCAUCUAACUCAAAUUAGUUCUUACAACUUGAAUGACCUUUGAAUCCUGGAUUUUCCUAAAUAGCUUUGGUGUAGGUCAAUACUUUCUAAUUAUUAAUUCCUAUACUGAAACCUUUAGAUUUACAGUUUUUAUGUGUAGAUUACUCACAGCUCACUGCUAGCUUCGUGUCUGUUAAUUAAAAGAGAGAACACCAUUGAGCAUUUUGCCAAAAGUGUUAUUUUUUUUUUAUAUACCUUUGCUGUGUGAGAAAUUUAAUAUUUUCCCAAAUAUGGAAAAUUUGUCCAAGUGGGCAAGAAAAAAAUACAAUGCCUCUAGUUAUGGUGGUGGUAACAUGCAACUCUACUAUAGAUAGCAGUAAAAUUUAAAAAAGAAGAAAAAAAAAAGAAAAAUAAUUCAGCUCUCAUGGUGCUGCCACUAUGAGCUGCCAAGGGUCAAAGAACUAAUGGUAAGAGUAUGCUGAUGUGACUUGCCUUUGCUAUCAAUAGUGGUAGAAAUACGCUGAUUGACCGGCCUCUACUAUAGUAGAGGUAAAGGGAGAGUAUAAAUUCACUCCCAUGUCCACGUCCUCUCUAAAACCCACACUGGUAAAGAUUUUCUUUUUACGAGUUCAUACUUUCUUUUAAGUUGCAAUUGCUAUUAUCUGGUAAGUGAAAAUUUAUAUGUAAAAUGUCUUUUAUUUUUAAUUUUAAAAUUUUAAUAUUAUUAUGUUAAAUAUUAUUUUGUAGGUACCCCUAAGUAUUGGUAAAAGUAUAUGGUUUCCUUAUAAUUAGAAUUUUGUGGUGUUAUAUAUUUAGAUUUUUUUAUAAAAAUGGAAAUAGAUAUUUAUUAGAUAUAAUAUACUUCUGAAAUAGAAAUAGAUAUACUAUAAAUUAACAUACCUUUAUUUUCUAUCAUUUACAUUGCUAUACUAUAAAUUAACGUACCAUUAUUUUCUUUCAUUUACAUCACUAAUUUUAAGUAUUAUCAUGUCCAAUGUAGGUUAAAAGUAUUGGAGUUCUAUUUUUAUAAAAUUUCAUUUUAUACUUAGAUUUAAGCUAUUACGUUGUUCAAAAGUAUAUUGUAUCUAAUGAAUAUCCAGUUCCAUUGCAAAAUAAAUCUAAUCAUAUAAUAAUAUAAAAUUCUAAAUCUGAGGAAAACAUACUUCUUAUUUAUAUAAAAAAAGUAUAUACCUUCUUGUUGCUUUUCUUACUUGUCUUUCAAUUUUUUUUUUUUUUUAUCAAUACUUGAUGAUACCUGUCACAAUAAAAUUUAGUAUAAAAAGUUAAAUUCUUAACAUAAUAAAAAGGAGUAUUUUAUACAUAAAUUUCUACUUGCUUGAUAAUGGCAAUUGCAGCUUUGAAGAAUUUAUACAUUCGUAAAAGUAUAUCUUUUCCACCAUAGGUUGUAAGGGGAUAUGGACAUGUGAGUUAAAUUUAUAUAAUCUCGCUUUACUUGUACUAUUAGUAGAAGUAAUCAGAUCAAUGUACUCUUAUGGACCAUGAUAGUAGAGGCAUGUCACAUCAUUGACAAUGUUAUGAUCCUUACUGCAGCUCAUGGUGGCAAUAUCAUAGAACUUUUUUCCUAUUUACUAUCGUUUGUAGCUGUACAUGUAACCACCACUAUAACUAGAGGUGUUAUACUUUUUCUUGCCUAUUUGGAUAAAUUUAUCCCGGUUUUGGAAAAUAUUGUUUUUCUCACAGCAAAGGUUAUAGGUAGAAUUCACAUUUUGGCAAAAUGCUCAAUGCCAUUAAUUUGGCAUCUGGAACAAGCCUUUGAUAUAUACCUUAGUAAACUAUUGAUUAUAUUGGGGACUUUUUGCGGGCAAAAGAAAAUUUUGACCUCAAUGAUCACUUUUCAUAGUUUUCAACCUCUAGCAAGUAUGACAAAAGAAUUGGUUUGUGUCACUGCUGCUAUACAUUCUUUCUCCUUUGUUUUUGUUAAGCACUGCUGCUUCUUGAAUUGCUCCUAAAAUGUUCCAUUAAUGUAUAAUAUUCAUGAUGCAGUAAAAAGAAAAAGUCUUCAUGGCUUUGCUUUAUGGGGAAUCGAACACAUUAAGGGUUAAACAUUCUUUCUGUUUUUAUAGCUAAACACAAUAAAAAGAUUAUGUAUAUAUUCCUUAAAUUGUUGAAUUCCACCUGGCAUCUGUGUCCUGUAAGCAUCUCAUGUAAUUCCUUAGCUAUUUGAGUUAGCUGUACAAUUAUUGCUUAGGUUCUUAUCUUCUUAACGUGUACAUUUCUUUUCAUUGUAGCAUGCAUUUUGUGCUGAAUGCACUCAACUACUAAUAGUAACUUCCAUUGCUGAAUUACUUUUGACUACAUGUUUUUUCAUGUUGCUCAGUAAAGUAAUGUUGUUCAAACAGUUGUCUAUAUCAAAUCCUAUUUAGCUGACAUGAAAAUACAUUCCACAUGGAAACUUCUUCAACAAUAAAGUCUUGACACAUCAGAAUCGUUGCUACAUAAUGUCUCCUAUCAUUGUUUUCCAUGUUGCAUGUUCAUAAACAUGAUUGGUAAAUCAACGUGUCAGUCGUGCAAGUCAAAUAAUCCAUCAUAUUUGACCUUUUUAAGGUCCUUUUCAUUUGUAAUUUAGAUUGUUUUGAUGGAAGAGUGCAGGCACUAAUAUCAAUAGCUGUGAGCUUCCUAGCAGACAUUUAACAGCUUAAUAAGAACAAAGGGAAAUGCAAUGGAUACGUGGCAUGAUAAAUUUCGGUGGCGUCUGAGCCUCAAUAUAUUCACAUUUUUUUUAUCAUCUGUAAAUUUGUGAACUAAAACUUUGGAGGGGCUCAACAAGCCAAGCCCUUGGAACAAUUAAUUUAAGGAAUCCUGACUAUCAAUUCAUGCAUAAGAUCUGCACAAUAGUUGUUGUCUAUAGAAUUUCUUCUGAACUGAUUGCAGUUUCACAAGUAGUUAUGACUGUUUUGCAUCAAUUUUUUUUUUUCGUAUGGUAGUUAUUAGCUUAGCAUCAUCUUUUUCUUGAGAUGUUGAUUUUUCAGUCAAGUGUAUUUUUAUGUCUGGAUUGCUAUCUAGCUAAGAAAGUUUCCUCUAUUUUUAUUUUUUUUUUUGCGUUGCUCCCUUUUGCUGUUUUUUCUCAACAGAUGGAGAAGAAAAAAUGCAAAGGCUUGGCUAUAUCAAGUUCAAGGAACUGGGCAAAUAUGGAAUAUGAAGUUCUAGUUUACAUAUUUAUGAAGCUGAGCACUAUGGAUCUGCUUUCAAGCAUUUCUCUUGUUUGUCAUUCAUGGCGUGCUGCAUGUUGCAAUCCACUCCUUUGGUUUACCCUUGAUUUGGCAAGAUUGAAGUACUCUUUUGACUGCCCAAUGGACCUUGGCGCUUUACUGCAUAGUUGGCAAAGUACGAGGUUAAUGCAAAUAUUGAACAGUGCAUUAAUUCUCGGUGGGAACAAUAUUAUGUGCUUGAUUUUCCAUUUUGAUGCACAUAUCAAGGAUGAACACUUGAUCUUUGCAGCUGAAAGGUUUUGUUUCCUGCUUUCGCUCCAUGUUGCUAAUCUACCUACCUUACAGAAAGAGAGAANNNNNNNNNNNNNNNNNNNNNNNNNNNNAAAAGAAGAAUCCAUCUAGGCGGGCUGAAUUUUUUAUCUGUGCUGAUCUCCUUUCUGCAGGUGUCCUAGGCUGAAACAACUUGUUCUUCCAGCUUGGAAUCAAAUCACUGCAAAUGGAUUCAGUGCAGCUAUCCGGAAGUUGAAAAAUCUCGAGUCCCUAACGCUUCCAUGCAAUUAUUUCCCCUCUAGUCUCCUGCAGAUAAUUGGUAUAAAUUGUCCAAAGCUCACCAAACUCAAAAUAAUGUCCCCUUUUGAUGCUGAUUUCGCACAGACCUUGUUUAUUUAUCUCCCAAAUCUUAAGGUCUUAAGUUUGAGGUGCACAAUAGUACACAAAGAUGCUUUGAGACUCACAUUAAUGCUCUUUCCUAACCUGGAGGUGCUGAAUGUAGCUCACAUGCUUUUCAUAGAUAUUCCUCCACCUGCAGCUUUUGAUCCUUCUGGAGGCCCUCUUGUAAUGUGUUGGGUGCGUGACACAACAUUAGCUGAACUGGCCUCAAAGCUAAAAGGCGUAUGCUGGUGUCAAACACAAUCUUGCAUAAUGUGUCGGCGUGUCUUGAUUGAUUCAGGAUGCCCCAAAUGGAUUGAAUAUGGGGAGGAUUGGCGAGAAGACGAGGAAAGUUGUUUUGACGUCUGAGCAAAGUGUGCCGAGAACAUCUCAGGGUAUAUCUAAGCAGGAUUACUUCCUGUUGGUCAAUAAAUAAACUUCUUAUGCUGAAAUAAAAGAAGGCUUCAUUGGACUUUUAUGUUAAAUUGGAAACUUACUCUAGUUUAACAAGCAAUGAUUAAGUUGUUUUCCUUUUCAGAUGUCCAUUUUCUUGCACUGCAUGCACUAUUAUUUUACAGUAAAGCAAAUGAUCCUCUUUGGGUUAUCCGAGGAAUGGUGGUAGUUAAUAACUAUCAUGACAGUUAUUAGUUACAAAGGUCAUCCAGAAUGAAGUUAGUUCUGAAAUUUCAACAGAAAGGCUUAUCUUAGCUGGAAUGUAAAAGAAACUAGCUAUUGAAAUCAGUUGUGAAUUUUAAUUGAGAAUGUCUCAGAAAAUUUCCUUGAUUAUCUUUCUUAACUACUGCUUUUCUUUCUCUUCCUCUUCUUUCAUUUUUCACUUCCUUGACAACCAAACACUGCUCCUGCAAUUAUUACUGCCAUUACUUUUUUUAUCUUAAAUUAUGUUACAACAGCUAUUCUACUUGCGUAAGUUUUACUGUUUGCAUUCUGUUGUUGGGAUGCGGAAGAAAUAGGAAAAUAAAAAUUUUAUGAAGUAAUAAUAUUUAAAGAAAAAAUAAAUAUUUUUUUAUUUUUUUUUACAGCAAAAUAUAUGAUAGUUAACUAAUUGGGUUUGUUUCAAAUUAUAAAUCGUUCAAAUAUUCAGUCUCUUUAAAUAUUCAGUCUCGAAUGAUAUUUAUAAAGAAUUAUAAUGAAAAAAAUUUUAAAAUUUUAAAUUCUUGUAAAGAAAAUUUUAAAUAUUUAGACUCUAAUGAUAUUUUGACAGAAUUAUAAUAAAAAAAUUUUAAAAUUUUAAAAUUCUUGUAAAGAAAAUUUUAAAAUUUUAAAAUUCUUGUAAAGAAAAUUUUAAAAUUUUAAAUUUCUUGUAAAGAUAUCUUGANNNNNNNNNNNNNNNNNNNNNNNNNNNNNNNNNNNNNNNNNNNNNNNNNNNNNNNNNNNNNNNNNNNNNNNNNNNNNNNNNNNNNNNNNNNNNNNNNNNNNNNNNNNNNNNNNNNNNNNNNNNNNNNNNNNNNNNNNNNNNNNNNNNNNNNNNNNNNNNNNNNNNNNNNNNNNNNNNNNNNNNNNNNNNNNNNNNNNNNNNNNNNNNNNNNNNNNNNNNNNNNNNNNNNNNNNNNNNNNNNNNNNNNNNNNNNNNNNNNNNNNNNNNNNNNNNNNNNNNNNNNNNNNNNNNNNNNNNNNNNNNNNNNNNNNNNNNNNNNNNNNNNNNNNNNNNNNNNNNNNNNNNNNNNNNNNNNNNNNNNNNNNNNNNNNNNNNNNNNNNNNNNNNNNNNNNNNNNNNNNNNNNAAAUAUGUUUGCAAUAUUAAAUUAUAUUAAUUUUCAUUUAUUAGCCAUUGACCUAUUAAAUGAAAUUUUAAAUCUCAUCUAUUAAUUUCAUUCUACCUUAUGCAAGAUUUUUAUGAUCAAUACUAAUAGAGAACAAAUAUAAUAUUUUUUAAUUUAACCUAGAGUGAUGAUCCUAUUUCAAUCAUAUAAAUAUAUUCAUACAGUUUCUAAUAUAUUCAAGUAAUAUGUAAAAUAAAUUAAAAUGUAAAAGUUCUGUAUAAAAUUAUUUAUUGAUUUUAAGUCAAAGUAUCACUUAUACAACCGUUACUUGAAUAAGUUAUAAAGACAUGUUAUUUUUCAUAUAAAUUUCUUAAACAUAUCAAUUUAGUUUAGUGUACUUAUUUAUAAAAUAAUUAUUUACAUAUUUAUUUUAAAUAUCUUCCAUAUUUUAACGUAUAAGAUCGGUUACUUUCUCUAAAAAUAAUAAUAUAAUAUACCUUAGUCUCAAUAACUCUAAUUAUUGUUCAAUCAUGAUAAGAAUAUCGAUCAGAAAUAUUUGAAAACAUUAAAAUCUUACAAUUAUAACCACAUUUCCUUUGCAGAUAAUAUAGUCUCAUAGGCUUUAUUUUUAUUCAAAAUUUAAUUAAAUUAAUACUAAAAUAAAUAAUAGUAUUUAUAAUAUGUUUAAAUACUUAAAAAUACAUAAACAAUAAUAUGUAACUAUAACUAACAGUUUGGCUGUAAAAACAUAUUACUAACACUUGUACAUAAAGCUUUAUAGAUGUUUGUGGACUACUUAUUCUAAAUUUCCCUGAGGACAUCAAUCUUAUUUUCUUAUAUUCCCUAGGAUAAGAUCUUUGGUAAUGAAACCUUUGCUAUCGAAACAUGUUUGGAUUCCAUGUCAAAUAUUACGGUUUCUUUUUCUCUUUAUGUUUUUUUUUCCUAAUUUGUCCAGGCUGACAACUUUGAACUUCUAUUACAAUGAUAUUACCAUAGAAGAGAGAAGAGCUAAACGAAACUCUCAAUAACCAUGCUGCAGCUGCAACGGUGACCCCAUGUUUGAGUAAACCUUUUCUUUGUCUUGUGGGGGUUGAUUUUUAACGUCCGGUGAUCUAAGCAGGAACCAUGUAUAGAUUGAAAAACUGGAACUCCAGGAUGCUGAAGCUCACUGUGGCAAUGCUAAUUUAGAUGUAGAUUUUCCAGUGUCCAAGCUUUUGAAGCAAGCUCCUCAAACCUGUUUGUGAAGAAGAAUUGUGAAAUUUUUCUAGGGAUUCUGUAAGUUAUUCAACAGGGUUACUUGUAGACACCAACUGCCUACAAGUCUACACUUAACUUGAGAAUUUAUCACAACCUGUGAUUGGAAUCCACAUCAGCAAAAUGAAUAUAUUAGUCAAACAUCACACAUUCUUGGAUGUUGACAUUGAUGAGCUCUUUACAAAUUUUAAAUCAUCAAAACAUUGACUAUAACUUAUUUCUUUGAAUUGGUUGAUUAUACCUUAAUGAAGCUGCUUUCAAAGGACAAAAAAAUUGGAUUCUGUAGGCAAGAAAAUUGCAAAGCUAAUGAUUUGCUUGUAAGAAAGACAUGAGAUUUCUUCCUCAUUCGCCUAUCUCCAAAUCCAUACAAGAAUUGAAAAAACUCUAUUUGCAUAUUUCCACUUACCCAUCAUUUUGAAUAAUUCGUAUUAAUUGGUUGGAAAUAUUAAAAUUAGUGAAUAUUAGACCAACCCCACCCUGCGUGGAAGAUCCUAAUUAUGUGGUAGCCAUGUUAAGUCAGAUAUUAUUUGUAUGGAGAAGAUGAAAGCAAGAGCAUGUGAUGAAGCUCUUGUGUUUGAAUACGUGUGAGCCACUUGGUGGUCUUGCACGUGUCUGUAGAUGAUGCUCUAAACUCUUCACAAAUAAUAUAUUUAUUCUACAAAAAUAUUCUUCCAUAUUUAUUUUUCUAUUAGAGAAAAAUAAUCUAUCUCACAAAUAAUAAAUCGAAAGCUUAGUGAUAAGAUGGAAAUUAUGUCGAAAUAAAAAGGGCAUUUCUGUAAUUUUAACUGGAUUAUUAAUUGGGAGUUUUGGCUCUUUGCUCGCUCACCACACAGGUUGCUUCAUCUAUAUAUAAUAGAACACAACACAUACCCCUGCCUUUAUUGCAAACUUCAAUUCAAUUACUAGCUUUUGCUUCUUUCUUAGUGUCUAUCACAAUCUCUUCUCUUCUCUUCUCUUCUGCUGCAGUUUCUCAUAAUCAAGAAUCAUGAGGAUUCCAAUCCCAAGUCCAAGACUCGCAUUUCUGGUCUUGUUGAUCAUACUUGCUCUUAGCCAGGUCUCAAGUUGCCGCCACCUCCACAUAAAUAAAGGUGAUCAAACGUCAGAGCAAACAGCCAAACCUGUAUUCUUUCCGUUUUCUUGGCACUUUCCUGCAAAAGCUCCUCAAGGAUCCGGCAAAGAGAAGAUCAGCUCAGUUUAUGGAGUUUCUUAUAAAAGAGUUCCAGGAGGGCCAAACCCACUUCACAACUGAUCAGCUUUGAGAAUACAGAUUACUUUCCUGCCAAAUUUUAUAUAUAUGUUCACUCCUAUACAGUUCUCUUUUUUUUUUUGGAUGUAUAAUUGAUACAGUUAGACCAGAAAGAAAAUUUUGUUAGUGUUUUGAUGAAUUUAAGAAAUUACAGAAUCAUGCAAAAAUAUCUUGCAAGAAUUUUCAGCUAUAUAAUUUCCCUGAAUUGACUUAUUCCUUUUGUUUUUCCUGGUAGAGCUGCAGAUUAUACGUUAGCCAAAGAGUUGCACUGUUGCAUGUUCUGUUUCUAUCAGUGAUUGACAACCAGAUUGUGAAAAAUGAGAAAGGUCAAAGUUUGUGAACAGGGAAUUCAUGCUUAAUAAUAAAAAAAUCAAAUUUAAGGACAGCAGAUUAUUAAAUUGGCCUCAUACACCGACUAAUGUAAUUAAAAUUGGCAAGUAUUACAGUGGCUUGCAAAAGAAGUCAAAUCUAAUACAUCAACAAUUGGCUUAUUGAGCUUGGAGUUAUUAUAUUUGUUGCAGUAGGCUUGAAGGUGGGGCAAAAGCUUGGCAUGCUAUACUGUGCACCCAGAAGCUGAAAGAAAAGAAAGAGAACAAAAUAAAAUAUUUUAGUUUCAUGGGUAUCAGUGUAUGCUUGCUAAUUGUUUUUUCCUCCAAGUCAGACUAUGUAUUUGUAAGAAUUCAAAGAUGUAACUUCCAUGAUUAAAAAAACAAACUGGAAUGUGAAGGGUUUUAUUGCAAAUGUGCAGCUGCCGUCCAUACACAAGUUAAUGCUCCUCUGUGUUUAGGUAAGAUAAUGGAAGGCUUAAGGUAGCAACAAGCAAAUAGGCGAGCAAGAGGUAGAAUGUAAGGUGGGGCAUGGGCCAUAUAGUCAUAUCUUAUGCGCCACGUAGGUAGACAGAUUGGAAUGAUCAUCCAAUGGGUCCCUGGAGCUGGAAGAGUGGAAGGAAGAAGAAAGGAUAGCUUAUCGUAUGGUACACCUCUUUUCUUUCAGAUGGUUUGAUUUAUAAAGAGAUUAGCUUGACUUUCUCGCAAGAAUUUGUGGGAAAGACGCUGAAGACAAGCUUCUUGUUUUAUUAAGAAACGCAGAAUUAACUAUGGAUCUUCACAUUUUUGUUCUCUUUAUUUACCUGUGAGAGAGAUGCUAUGUACAAUUACGCUUGAUUCAGAACUAUCAAAACUAAGUUGCGUCCAAUGACUAUAGAGGUAAUCUAAGCUUGGACUUUCUAAGAAAAGAAGAUUACGAAUCACGGGAACAAACUUCACAUUCUAUUUCUGUCUCGGGUGAAACUUUCUGAAUACAGAUAACUGAGGCCAUGCCUCGUGCAUACUCCUGCAAAAUUAUCAUACAAUUUGCCGAAUGAAUCACAGCAAAAGAAGCAACUUUACAAAUUAUCCUCCAUUAUGAUACGCAGAGUCCAAUAUCAAAGUGUUAUGAGUAAGGAAUAAAGAAGUUUUGAAUUAGUCUUUACAUUCAGUUGCGACGGUAGAAAGUAGCUGGGGUAUAGUAUAAAUAGGAACUUAAGAACUUGUAAAAAUAAAAAUAUCCAAGAUCAUUAGCAAUCAAAGAUAAACUCUUUCUCUCUACUUCUUCUCUUUCCUCUUCUCUAAUUCUCUCUAUUACUUCUCCCCCUUCUUAUUUCUUUUCUCAGCCCAUUCUACUCUCUCUUUCUCUCCCUAUUUCUCUAUUAACUUCCUGCUGUCUUUCUUCUUCUUCUCUUCUAUUCUGCUUUCUUCCCUCUAAUUCUUCUGUAUUUUUCCUAAAAUUUCUUUCUUUCCCGUUCUUCUUCCCUCUUCUUUCUUCUUGACAAAAUCUUUCUUCUUCUUUUUCCUCUAUUCUUUCCUUCUUUCCUUUCCAGAAUUUCCUUCCUUCUGUUCUUGCUCUGUUUCUUCUUUUUAUUGGCAAAACCUUAUUUCUGCACUUCUUUCUUUCCUCUGGAACCCCUUUCUUUCUUAAAUUCUUGAACCAAAAAGAAAAAUUCUUCUUGUUCUAUUGUUUUCUGGUUUCCUUUCUUUUCUUUCUUUAAUUCCUCACUUCCAGCAUUUCAAGAACUUGUUUCUUGAAAUUCUUGAAAUUUUCGUUCCUUCCUUUAUUCACAUUCUUUUCGUGUUCUCCCUUUCUUGGAAUUCUUCUUCUCGCUUCAUUGAUUUUUCUAGAAAAUUUCUCCCUUAAAUUAUGAUUUUGCUUCCUGAAAAUCAGAUUACUUUUUCUUAAUUUUCUUUGUUUUCUUGAAAUUCUUGAAUCAUGGAAGUGCAAUAUUUGGCACAAAUUUUUCUUAACGAAGUUUAAGAAAUUCUAGACAGAAGAUUGAAAGAACAGAAGGAGUGGGAGGAACAAAGAUUUGAAAAAGUGAUUCAGAAAGUAUAAAAUUUAGAUCAGAAAUGGAAAGGUUUGAGCAAUCAAUUCAAGUGAAAAAAGGAAACGAUUGCAGUCUUGAUCAAUGAAAGUCAAAUUUUUGAAAAGCCUAGUGAAGAACAAAAUGUCUCAUGUGAAAUUUCCGAUAAGAAUAGCAGGCGGAGAAAGAACUUUUUGUUGACAUGUUUAAUGUAAGUGAGAUCAAUAAGGAGAAGAACGAUAAAGAUAGUGAGGAUGGACAACUAGAGUCUGAAAUGAGGGCAAUAUUAGUUGAAUCUGAAAUGUUUGCACAAUUCAGUUCUAAAACUAAGUUUUUUUCUACUGAAAUUCUUGGAAAUGUUAUUAAAAAAAAGAAAAAUAAGGAUGUUACAAAAGGUGUGUGGCAACAUUUUUGCCAAGAUAGUAUGCAUUCUUAUGGAAGAUAAAUGGGAAAUGGUAAGAAGAGAAAGGAAGAAGGUUUUGACAUCAAAUUCUAUUGCGAUCUUGAAGGAACAAGCAUUGGAAAUUUGGAGAAGGAAAAGGAAAAAAAAAAGUUUAACAUCUUCAGCCAAGCCUUAUGGUCAUUUGUGCUAUGGUCAUUUCAGCUGAAGCACGUGCAAGAAGUUAACAUUUGGGGUUUUCAAUUCAAGUGAUUACUGACCAGCAAAAGCUACCAUGUGGAAUUUUCACAUCUUUCUGACCAAUUCUUGAGGAAAGAAGUUUCGCAUCUUUCUGACCAAGUCUGAGAAAAGAAGUAACGGAAAUUCAUUUCAAUUUUGAGUAUUUUCUUCAUUCUUGAUGACAAGAAUGAUUUCAAGGGAUGGAAAAUGUUAUAAGUAAGAAAUAAAAUAAGUAUUUAAUUAGUUUUUCCAUUCGAUUGUAAAUGUAGAAAGCAGUUGUAGUGCCCAAAAUAGUAUAAAUAGGAACUUGUAAAGAUAAAGGUAUCCAAAAUCAUUAGCAAUCCAACUCCAAGAUCAUUAGCAAUCAAACUCUUCCUCUCUACUUCUUCUCUUUCCUCUUCUCUAAUUCUCUCUGUUACUUCUCCCCUUUCUAUUUCUUUUCUCAGCCCAUUCUACUCUCUCUUUCUCUCCCUAUUUCUCUGUUUCAAAGGGAUUGCAAGUCUGUCAUAUAACACAAAGGAAAUUAGAUAAAAUUUGGCUAUUUAAAUUAUGACUGCCAAAAUCACUGAUACAAAUAUCAUAAACAAAUGUAGAAAGCUGAUUGAGCAAGAACACAUCAUUAUGACCUCGACAAAUUCUAUUGCUGGAAGCCAAAGAAUAUUGCAUUCCUCAGCCCAUAAUGAUCAUCUGCAUAUGGUAAGCUAAACAACUCAAUAUACAUCAAAAGUUCUAAGAACCAAGGUUCCGAAAAAGCUCUGGAAGAUGUGCAUUUGUUAGCUUAGUCCUCUUGCUGAUCUCAUGUUUCUUCUUCUUGAUCUUUGGCUUAGUGGAAAUGCCCUGCACCUGGGCUGCGGCCCUCCUCUUUGCAGUGUUUGUGGCAGGUUUCAUGCCAUUCUUCUGUAAAUCCUUCUCAAUAUCAAGCAUAUCACGAGGCAAUUCAAUCUCCCGAAAGAGCUGUUUAAGGUCAUCAUCCACCUUAAUAACUGCCCUGGGGUCAUUUGGAUAUGCAAUGUCCUCCUGUGAAUCAAAGUUUGAUAGCAACCAUAUCUGACCAGCAGCUUUCAGAGCCUACCAAAAUAAUGAAUUUUUUUUCAAGCCACAAUGAGAAAAACAUAGAAUUAUACUGGCAAGACAAGAAAAGUUUGAGCACAAAAGAGUAAUUACUAAUACUUGAUCACUGCGAAACUUGUGAAGUAAAAUUCACAGAUAUUGCUCCAAAGUACAAAAAUAAUAAUUUAAAAAAAAAGUACCAAACAUCCAUCAAUAGUACAUAAUAAACUGAAAAGAAUUGAACAGAAGAAAGAAAGACAUCACAAGUAAUUCAUGGCAAAUGCACUUCAUAGGAGGGGAAAUAAGUGCAACAGAAGUCCAGAUCAAAGAGGUCCAGUCACCACUCCUCAUGGGUAUGAUGGACCAAAACAAGUGGAAGAAUACAACAAUCAUUUAUCUGCUGAAAAUUUUGAAGCAUGUUAAGGCACUCGGGUGAUUUUCAUCAAUCCACUACUGUAAUUGCUCUAGACGAUGGCAAGUGUACUCUUUUACAUUGAUUCACUUGAUGGUCACUGUUGUUUGGUUUAGAGAGAGAGACCUCAAAGUUAUACUAAACAAAAAUUGAUAUCAUAUAUGAAAUUAAAAGAAAUUAUACACAACUUAAUUAUAGCUAAAGGAGAAAAUUCAAGUUAAAGUAGAAAAGACUUUCUUCAGAACCAAAACCAACUAAAAAGAAAGGGAGAGAUAAGGGCAAACAAAGGAAAAGGCAAAAACUAACCUAAAACAUUAAAGAGAAUGAUUCUGAUAAUCAGAACUCAAAGCAAAUCUUUCUCUUCAUUCAGAGAAACCAUUUUUACUACAAGUAAACUCGCUUUAAGAAAGCUGGCAACAAAAGCUAAAGAGGUUUCAGUUGCUUCAUUCAAAUGACAGAAAUGUAUUGGGGGCCACCCAGCCGAAUUCUUAUGCAUCCAGUAUUAUAUUGAUUCACCUGCUCAGAUUUUACUUGGCAAUAUUGAACAUUUUUCUCUCAAAGAUUCAGCCAUGAAAACCGAACAAAUGGUACAAUUCACGAGAUAAAACCGAAAAGUGAUAUCCAAUAUUUAGAUAUACCUGCAAAUCCUCCAUGACAGUUGGGUAUGCAUCCUUGAGAUCAAUGACAGCAAUGCCCUCAGGAAAUUUUCGUAUCAAAACAAUUAGCUGACUCUUGUCCUUCAAGUCAUGCUUGGACUGUAAUAAAUUAAAAACCCAAAAUAUUAUCUUCCAUGAAAAGGGAAUUAUAAGGUAGUAACUAAAACAGUAACAAGACUUGAUUACUGAUCCAAAAAUGCUUAACCAUAAGUACUUGAAGGCACAUAAUUUUUAUGUCACCUUGUAUGAGAAGCGCUUCCCAUCAUAGUAGACUUUUGGGUUGUUCCUCAAACUGUCGAAGACAGCUUUAUUGUAGUUCACAUCAACAAAACAUGCUUCAUUUAUUUGCUCAGGUGUAAAAGCUAGCCUUUUCUGAAAACAAGCAAAAAACAUACAUCAUGAUGGUUAAUGGCUUACAACACGUGUGCACACACACACUCACACUCAUACACAUACAAUCAAACAAAAUAGAAGAGAGAGAAAAUGAUAUAUGCACAUAGGAGGAAAAUCUCGGGCGUAGUACAAGAAAAUCAUAAAUUAGAAGAAAAGAAAACUAGUAAAAACAACUCCAGAAAGAAAUGCAGAGCAAGCAUGCAUAACAUCAACAAAGCAGUACAAAAGCACCAAACAGAAGUAGAGAUGACAAGAGAGAUAGAGAGGGAGGGUGUUGGGAUCCCACUACAAUGUUCCAAGAAAGAGAAGCUUCAAAGAUAAGAGAGGGAAGGAGAGAGGAGAACAAGGCUUCCAGCAAGGAAAAGGCACCCAAAAUCUGGAACAUGACCGAGUACAAACUAGUCAAGCAAAGAGAUCAACUAAAAUCCCAUUUUGCGUUCACAUGCAUACUUUGUUGUUACCCUCAUUAAAGUGUGAAACACAACAACCAAUACAGUAUGCCACUCACAUUCUUUAGCUAAAACAUCCACUCCCAACUAACCAACAUCUUCACAAGCACCUAGUCUCAUGUUGACAGGCACAACAUAUUAACUUAAAAAAUAAAAGUGAACAACAUGAACUGCAUAUCCACAACUGAAUAAUGCAAAAGUAAAUAAUCAAUUGUAUCCUAUGCCUCAUUGCCCUGAUGGAAACUAACAAUAAACAGCAUAGUGGUUUCAGAAAGUCCUUGAUCGUUCUUCAGCAAAGAGUCAGCACAACCUAGCAGAACACCCAGAACACAUAUAUUGAUUAAUAGAGAAAACCAUUAGUUAUGUCAACAGCAAUAACAUUACAAAAAUUGCAUACCACACAGGUGGCCACAUUUCAAAAUACUAUAACCAAGCUCAUCUUGAUCUUAGCCUAUUACCCAAAUCUUAGCACAACCACCAUCAUAAAACAAGGAACACCAUGAAAUUCAAUUCUGCACAUUUCUGAUCCAAUAAGAAUUAAAUGUUUUGUGAAACCCAGAAUUAUCUGGAUCUAUAGUUGGUCCCACUCCCCACCCCCUCAAAAGAAGCAAGUCACACGGUGAAAUUGCCAGCAGAUUAAAAUACGCAUGCAGGACAUGUGUUUGAUUGUAGAAACUCUUUUCUUUUGCAAACAAUGAUUAAUAUAUAUGUGAAAGUCAGAGGGCCUUCUUAUUGGUAGAACAAAAAUUGCUGCCUGCAUACUUUCCAAUAAUGUAUCCUAUCAUAUAAAAAUGUAAAAGUGGCAGCAGAAGCAACAGGAAAUAACAAUGUUUUAAAGACUCAAUAGGCUUGCAAAAUAAACCAUGCAAACUAUAGAGGCACUAAUCUUUUUCUCUAUCAACCCAUCAUGAACAUAAUGGAAAAGCUACAAUCUUAUUUAGCAACAUUGGAAAACAAAAUUAAGGACAGGCACUUAGGAAUGAACCUCUAGCAGCAGGUCUAUAACACGCUUGAUCUGAGCUCCAACAGGGCCUUUACGAAUACUGUUGAUGUGUUGUAGUCUCUCCGUGUCAUUUGAAAAUUUGACAGGUGGACCUGGAGUCCUAGGAUUUGUUAAUGGCGAUGCAGCUACAGGUGUAGUUUUUUGAAAUGAAGCAGAUUUAGAAGGCCCUGCUUUAGCUGCAAUGCUGGUGAGGGUCGAUUGGCACUUCUCUUGUUGCUUCUUGAAUCUAUCUAAUCUUUCUUGCAGUGCCAUCUCUGCGCAGGAACGACUACUUAAAUAUUCAAAAGUGGUAUUACAUGUUAAAUAGCAUCCAAAAAGGGGGAAAAAAACAAUAUUAACCUUAUAAAACCAGGAAAACAAAUUCCAGGACCUCUUUGAAGAAUCCAAAAUUAAAUGGUUGAUUCGAGCUCAUAGAAUUUAUCUUCUAAUUUCUCCAAUAUCAACCAUAUAGAUAUGACUAACGAUAUGAUUAAAGAUCAACCAGCCAAUACAAUCACACAAAAAAUUUCUUUUUCCCCCUUUCCGAUAAAGGAGAACCAAAAAAGUUUGUUCCAUCCGAUUUAUCCUUACUAACAAGAAUAUUCUAUGAAACGAAGAAGAACCCCAUAACAACAGUCUCCAAAAUUCGAAACAGUAGCAUAGUACCAAAAUCAAGAGAUCAAAAAGUAAAAUGUUAACCUGUUUGAUCGCAACUUUUAUCUUUUCCUUUCUGAUGGUUUGAUCGCCCUAAUUGCAGUUUCUAUCUGAUGAUAUAAUUUCUCUAAUUCCAAUUGCAGUGGAAAAAAAAAUAGAUUAAGGGCGAGAAGAAAACAAUUAUGACGGUAGAAAUGGGGGGAUGGGAAGGUGGUGAAGGACAAAGCUAAGAUUGAAAUUGAAAGUAACAGAACACUCGACGAUUGAAGUCAAACAAAAAUAGAGGACAUUAUCCUCAACUGAUAUAUCCCAGUUGAAAUAUUGGAUCCAAGAAAGUAAAGCCUAAAACCCUAAUUUUCAAUGUUAAAUCAGCCGAAAAUAGAGAGAAGCACCAUAUACAUGUGUACGCGCGAAUACGUAUAUGCAAGGAAUUGGAUCGGUGGUAUCGAGAGACCAAUGUCCCUCCCUCUCACUCCGCCUUUCUUUCUGCUGGAAAACGCAAAUUCUUGCAUUUCUUGCUAUAAAAGGUAAAAUAAUAGAGCCAAACACAGCCGCCCAAGCCAUGAGUAUUUUGUGGGCCUUCGUCUCGGGUAGAAAGCUUUGAAAGCCCAUUGCCAAUUUAGAACGACCUCGUUUUGACCUAGAAUCACAAAUUUGUGCCCACUAGCUCGAGUCUUUGUAAAUACAGCAUGAACACGUGGCCUGAAGAUCGCAUUAUUAUUUAUACCCGAGCUUUGACAUUUCACGCUCAGCAAGAACAAUUACAUGCUUAGAGAGAGAAGACAGUGUCGGAAACCAAGUAUACAUACAGUUUUUGGUCGCCGGAGGUACGUUGGUUUUUGGAAAUGGUUCCCAAGGACUCAUCGGAGGAGCUUCCCGACGGAUGGACUGUGCAAUUUAAUGUUCUAAAGACGGGUCGCAAAAUUAAGGUAAAGUUAGAACUCUCGUGUUUUCAGCUAAUUUAGGGUUUUAUGGCCCUACUUUAUAUAUUUUUUUUAGCUGGAAGAUUGUUGUUUUUGAGUUUUUAAGAGCAUAUACAAGUGCGUGGACGAAUAAAUUUUUAAAUUUUAAGCUUACGGGGUAGAGGUUGUUGAAUGGCUGACUAUCAUCUACUGAUGGUAGUUUAUUUUUGUAUAUUGAUCUUUGAAAUAAUAAAGAAAGAGAAUGUUUUAACUCAAUUAGAUGGACUCUGGGGUUUUGUCUAGCUCAUGUAAUAGUAAUGUUCUUGAUAAUUCAGCUGCAUGUUGUUUGCUAUGCAAUUCAAGUUUGCUGUUUUAAAUUUUUCAAAGGAUUUGCACGUAGAUAAUAUGAAUUUGAUGUUGUUUAGGACAGUGUAUAUCUUUUCAUGUUAUUGGAUUACACUCUCAAAUGACCUGUUUUAUGAAAUAAAUUAAAUCGGUGUAUAGAAGGGUCUUUUAUCACAUUGUAUUUGACUUCUGUGAUGACCAGAAUCUUGCUCGGUUCAUGAACUUCAACACUUGUUCUUUAAAAUUUAGGACAAAAUCUUUGUCCAUGAUAUAAGGGUUUAAAUUGCUGAACCAACUCACUUCGUUUGUUGCAAUGUAAUUAUGCUUAAAUAAAUGAUAAGCAUAUGGGAAAUAUGGAAUAUUAUGGUGCCCUGAUUUGUUAAGUUAGCUUCAGUUUGAGUAGAAGCCUCUCACUUUUUCUCUUUUAUAUUUUAGGGAUAAGUCUAGGUCAGUCCAAUUUUUCCCUCAAUCUGUCUCAAUAUAUAUAAGAAAAUUAUUCACUUUUAAAAUAUACAUUAUUUAUUAAUUAUAAAAUUCUUUAAAAAUUGUUCGUGUAAUACGUAAUAAUAUAAUAAUAUGAUUUUUAAUCAUUUACAAAAAUAAAAAUGUAGAGAUUAAUCAAAUGGUACUUCAAAUUUCUUUUGUCCGUUCUAAUUUUUUUGGAUGGAGGUACAAAGGCUGGAUAAUAAAUGAUAGGCUUCUCCAGAGGGUUGAAUAACCUCAAAUAGAUAGAUGAAAAGACUCGUACUUCAAUUUUAUUUUGUUAUUUCAAUUUUUACUUUGAUUCUCAAAGAGUAGGGAAUGAAAAUUUUGCAAAAUUCAGCCCCAUUUAUUGUUAAUGAAGAUUGCAAAUUUAUAUAUAUAUAUAUAACACGGAAUUAUGUGUAUAUAUAUAUAUAUAUAUAUAUAUGUAUAUAUAUAGAUUUUUGUGCAUGUUUAUGAAAAGGUUGCAUGUGAUCUGAAAGGUCUCAUUUUUGAGGAAGUGUUUGAUUUUGGGUUAGAAUUUCAAUUGAAGUGAAUUCCUAUAUGAGAAGGAAAAAGAUAUCCUUGUUUGGUUUCCAUUGUUUUCUGUAACUGGCAAAAAGAUAGGAAUGGUAGCAGGAUGGGUCAGGGUUUUUUGUUUCAAUUUAUCAAUAUAAUUUAUUUACUAAAAAAAUAUAUGUUAGACAUAUACAUAUAUUUUUAUUAAAAUCAUAAUAUUUAUAUGCUUAAAUAUGUAAAAUAAAAUAAAUUUUUAAAUAAAACUAAUAUAAAUUGUCAUUGGUCGGGUUAUUGGAAUUCGUAGCAGGGUUGAGACGAAUUGCUAUCCCUAAAAAACAAUGAAAGGUCAUAACAACACUUGCACGGAGCAAAGAAUCUUGAUAAUACAGUUGGAAUUUGGUUUAUAUUCCAAAUCUGUAAAAUGCUUUAAAAAGGCAUUAUGGAUACCUUGCUGUUUACUUGCAUGUUCAGAAGAUCCUUGUAGCAGAACCCACGUCAAGAUUACUAGCACAUAGUCCCCUUAUGCAAAUUUUGACUAUUUUGGGAAACAAUUGUAAAAGUGGAUGAUUUGUUGUGGACCUGUGGUAAGUAAAUUAAAUGAUGCUGGUUGAUGAAAAAUGUGAAGAAUUUAGGUAAGCUAUAGUUUGAGUAAAAGCAUAUCACAACGUUGUUGGUAUAGUAAGUGCUGUAUCUAAUCUGUUAAGAGCACAGAAGAUCGGUGUAUAAUUUGUUAAUCAAUUCAUUUGUCUUUGUUAGCAUAUUUAUUAUUAAAAUAACCGAAGACUUGCCUAUUUUGCCCUGUGAAGUUAACCAGCAAGUUGUUUUCAAUAUCUGUGGCAUGCUAGGUUGCCGGAGGAUUUUCAUUAAAUGAAUUUUGGAGAUCACCACAUUAAAUGUAUUAGCAUAUGUAAAAACAAUCAACUGCCACUAUGCUGGAUUUCAUUGCUAACUGCAUGCUUUUUAGUUAUGGUGAUUUGUAAUGUUGGAAGACAAUGCUAAAACUUGGUCUGAAUAUUUCUCAACCGAAAUAGUCAGCUAUUAAUAUUGCUAAAGAAGGCAAUGGGAAUUGCAAUUUAUGAAGUAAUAUCAGAGACACAGUUAAUUAAAAGUUUAAUCAACACAAUGAAUGGGUUUCUUCUGUUGCUAUGUUUUCCUUUGAGGUUGUCAGUUAGAUAUUUUAACAGUCUGUAUUUAUGAAGUAACUUGGUCCAUGUUACCUUCAGAUCAAUGAUGUUAUGGACAGAAUAACUAUCUUAAAAAAAAAGUGAGUAAAUGAUAAUGGCAAAAGGGGGAGGAGCACAAAUCUGGGGAAAACCUUACUUAACAAAAUUUUGGAAUAUGGUUGUCUAACCAUGACAUUUGGCCUUUGUAGUAUUAUACGAACACUGGAAAUGGUAAAAAAUUCUACUCCAAAGAUGACUUCAUAAGCCAUAUUAAAGCACAAAGUACUCGACUUGACCAGCCUCAACCAACUAAGAGUUCAAUUGGAGGGCCCACAAAUAAUAACCUGAUGGUCAGUAUGGUGGCACGAGACCUUGUGCCUAUUUAUUGUUUUGCCUCCUUCAUUUCUCUUAAUUUCUACUUAUGUGGUCAAUGUUAAAAUUAGCAGUUUAUGGAACACACAAAUGAACAUCCUGAAUGGUUACCUCACGGUUGGAUCGUGGAGUUGAGAACCAGACAAAGUGGCUACGCAAGCGGAAAAAUAUACAAGGUAUUAAUUAUGUUCAUAUAAGAGUCAUUUUAAAUUUAUUUUUAAGUAACUUCUUUAUCACUCUGUCUUUUCAUUUAAUGUCAUUGGAUGAAUCUUUAUUAAUAUGCAAUAGGCACGGUCACUUGGAGGCUGCCAAUCAUUAAUUGGCUUAAGCAACAUGAUUAACAUAUUACAUGCACAUGAUAUGUGCUUGAGACAUCAAAAUUUUCCUUAUAAAUAUCUUUUUAUACACAUGAUUGCAACUUCUUCCGGUAAAGCUACUUGGUUUACCUUAUAAUUGUAAAAUAUAAACCCUUUCUGGAUAAAAUUUGAACAUGCACGCUUAAUCAUUUUUUUCCUAGAAUGCUCUGGGUGCUUUGCGCUUAUGAACUUCUUUCCAUAUGAAUUUAUUUUUUCUUUUAGACGAUUUGAUCAAAUGCUAAAAUGUUAUUAACAUAGUUGUCAAAUUAAGAUUCAAAUCGAGAAUCGAAAUCUUCAUUUUAUGAAUAGAGAAUUGAGAAUCGGAUUGGCGUAAGAUUCGAUAAAAAUUCUAAAAAAUUAAUUAAAAAUAAUAUAUGUUCUAAAAAUAAGUAAAAAAUAUAUUUUAUGAUGACAUGUUUUGAUAAAUAUAUAAUUAUCAUUUAUAUAAUUAGAAAUAUUCUUUAUAAUAGAAUAAUAUGUGUUUUCUAUGUUCAUAGUUUUAUGUUGUAAAUUAUGAAAACAUGUCAUUAUAUAAAUUCUGGAAUUGUAGAUAAUACUUAGUAUUAUAUAUAUAUGCCAAAACUCGCAUUUAAAUUUCAUCAAAUAAUUAAAUAGUAAAAAAAGAUAGAAGGAUUUAAUAUUAUUAAGGGAGAUUUAUAAUUUAGUCUCUGGGUAUUGUCACUAUUUACAAGUCAAUUUCUGCAUUGAUACAUUUUCCAUCAAAUUGUCAAUAAAAAAGAAAGAAAAAACUUUAAAAAUCCAAUUUUUCCCUCAUCGCUCCCAAUUAAAUCAUAUUUUCUCUCUAACUCUAAAGAGAUAAAAAAACAACCUCCUUCAAUAUUCUUGUUCUACUACAACACUCCACACCGGGGGCAUCCUUCUUAUUCUUCUUCUCUUUCCUUCCUUCAAUUGCAACCACAUACUUUCUAUUGACGUCUCCAUCUUCUUAUUCUUCUUGUUCUUCUCCUUCUUUCUUUUCCCAGUAAUUUUGUUCAACAGCUCCCCACCCCAACUCCUCUCUCUUCCACUCUGUCACAUGUGAAAUGAGACCCUUAGCCCCUCAUUUAAAGCAACCAAUCCUCCUCGAUUCCUCUUCUUAUUCUUCUUCAUCUUCCAAUAUUUUUAUCCUUAUCUUUAUCACUCACAUAAUGUAACAACAAUUAAAAGAAAAAAGAAAUUGAUAAAAAACAAGCAGCUAUAGAAAUUUAAACAAAGUCUUCAUCGUCAAGUUUGGGUUAUUUGGGUAUAUACUCAUACACCAAACAGUGUGAUGUUGUAAUCCAGAUUAUCAAUAAACUAACAAAAUUUCAAUAAAAAAAUUUAUGACAAAUCACAAAAUAUGAUAAUCAAAAUUCAACAAAACAAUAAAAGUGAGAUCGGAAAACCCACAUCAAAUUUGAGAAUGAAAACAAACCAAAAAAGAAAUAAUAUAAAAGGGAUAAAUCAUAUCUUAAUGAGGAAGACAGAAGAAAAAGAAAUCAAAAUAGUCACUGAUUGUGAGAAUUUUGCAUUCUUUGCACUCGACUGUACAAUAUUGAUUAUAGAGAAAGCAUUGUUGGUAUGAUACUGUAGAUUGUCUAGGCUCUAGCUUCAUUUCGGAACUGUAGGCUUUGUCAAUACCUCUUCCAUGGGUGUGAUUUGCUUCACUCUUUAUUCUACCAUCUGCUCUGUUUUAGCCUGGUGUGUUGGUUGAAAUUUGAGAAUUGGAGAGCUCUUAAAAGAAAGAGCGAAGAACUGAGUUAAGGAUUCUCAAUAAUGGAAAGUUUAUAUUUCUAGUGAUUACGGACAUCUAAGGGCACAUUAGUCUUUUUCUAAUAAUCUAACGGCAAAUGGGUUUGAAAAUUGACAGAAGGAUCUCAUUAUUAAUGGAUUUAAAAUGUAGGGACGUUUUAGUAAGUUUUUUAAAAUGCAGGGGCUGAUUUGUUAUUAAUGGCAAUACUCAGGGAUUAAUUAGUAAAUCUCCCUAUUAUUAAUGUAAAUUGUCAUAACUUGCCAACUAUAAUUAGUUAAGUAAAUUAACUAUAAAGAAAAAAAAGAAAAGAAAAAAGAGAGAAGGAGAAAAAUGGGUGAUAGAAGAAAAUAGUUGAGGAAAAAUUUUGUUACUGAAUGAGAUCUUAAAUUUUAAAAAUAUAAGCCUAAAGAACCCCUUAUAUUUAAUUGAUUGAAUCGGGUUGCGAACUCGAUCAAUUCAUAUUAAUUCACUUGAUUUACUAUUGAUUCUUUCAAUUUAGUUACAAUUCAUGUGCAUUUGCAAUUUAUCUUAUAUAUUUAAAUCCCUAGGAUGUGGAAUCUAAUCGAGAAUCGUAAGAUUUGAAUUAAGAAUCGUACGAUUCAGUGACAUUUAAGAUUCGCCAUAUAGAUUCAAAUCGAUUUGUUGGGAAAUUGAUUUGAAUAGUAAGAUUCGAAGAGAGAAUCAUAAAAUUCUGAUAACAGUGAUUAUUAAAUAGCAAUCUUUGCAGAAGAUUGUUCAUGUCGAUAAUAAUAUUUUAUUGCUUUUAUUCCCAAAAUCAAUUUUAUGGUAUUUUAAAUGGCAUUAGAUUGUAUGACUGCAUUUUCUGGUGCAGUGUUACGUUGAUAGUUCUACUGGCCACAAAUUCUAUUCCAAGCCAGAGGUGCUUCGAUAUCUGGAAAGUAUGAAGCAGAAGAGUUGCACAUUAGAGCAGCAAGAAACACCCAUGAGUGUUCUCCCUGAAAACAAGGUUUGUCCGCAAUAUCCUGAUUCUGUUUUUGUUAUAUGCCAAAAACUUUUUUUUUUGCAGUUAUGGUAUUUGCUUUGCUGCUGAGCAUGCACCGAUAACUUGAAAUGCAUCAAUACAAAGGUUUAGUUGUUGGUUGCAUGAAACCAUGUGCACUAUUUUGGCAAAUAAGGAAGAACGAAUUUGUUAAAGAUCCUGAUAUUAGCAUAACUUGUGUAAUGCAAUAUAUAAGGAAAAUUUGAUGCAUAUGGCAUCGUACAUACAAAAGGUAUGUGCUAUAAAUGGAAACUCUACAAAUGCUUGAGAAUAGGGAUGUUGUAUUCCAUAUUAUUCUGGAAGUACAGAAAGAGGAAAGUAGUACUUCUAAAAGUUUGAGGGGUUUUUAACAAUCAAUCAUAAUCUUAGAGAUGUAAAUUUUCCAAGAUAUUCUUUUUGGUAUGUUUUUGUGAACAUAUGUUAGUCUAUCAGUUGACUUUUGAAAUCCAUUUCAAGCUUGAGAUGAUCAGAUAUCUGAAAAAUAAGUGCAGAUAAUACCAUUUCCAGAUAAACAAAGAAACAUUAUUCUAUGUUUUUUUCUCAUUGCAUAGUAAAGUUAUAGUAUCUUUUUAUUCUGCGAAAUUUGUCUGAUCAAAUUCCAGUAUUCUAAUUCUAAGUCUCUGCAUAAAAUCUAGGUUCAGUUUGAGAAGUCUUCAGUGGAGGAUUUACCUACAGGGUGGAUCAAGAGUACCAAAAUUACAAGGAAUGCAAAUGGAGUCAGAAAAGACCCGGUAAGAACUUUUGAUAAUACUCGUUUGUCUAAUAUUAUUUAGUUUUCAGAUGAAUUUUUAGAGGGGUGGUAAUCUUCCCUACCACAGCUGGUGCUUGAUCCUCCUUUUUAAGAGAUAAGGCUGGUACCAUUACCUGCUAUGCUGUACCUAUUUGCUAUAUAUGUUUUUUUGCGGUUGAAAAUUUUUGCGGUAACAACAUAUUUUGACAUACCUAAUGGGGACAAUAAAUUGAUGUUGAUCAGUACCCUUUUGCCACAGUAUUACACAGAUCCAGUAACUGGACGUGUCUUCCGAUCCAAAAGGGAUGUUCAACGCUAUCUAGAAACUGGAGAAAUUAGUAGACGUGCAGUUUUUCCAAAGAAAGGACCCAUCGAUGAAAAAAUCUUGGUACAUAUGAACCUAACCUUAUAUUCCUGAGUUUAAGUGAUAUAUUGCAGUUUCCCUGCUGUUGAUAUCAUCAUUCUCUUUGGGGAUUCAUAUAUGUUGUGCCACGAAUUUGAUAGUUAAAUGUUUGAUCUAUGGGAUUUUUAUGUGAAAUUAAAUGCAUAUAGUAUGCAUACUAUAUGCUUCAAAAUAUAGUUUAAACAAAAAUCUAAAAUUUUGAAGCCUUUACUUUCCAAUCUGCUAGCCCAAAAACAUAGCUCACAAUGCUAUUAAAAUAAUUUAUGUUCAUGCUAUUCAAGUUGUGUGAAACCUGUGUUGCAGUAAAACACUUGCAACUUAAUUAAAGAUUUUGUAAAUUGAAGGAGGUAUAGAACAAACAUUGUGUUUUAUGCUCUUGCAACAGUACGAAUUCAUAUUUGUCCCACUGGUAAUUUACACUUAAAUCUUUAUUUUGAAGGAUCAGAUAUUUGACCCAUCACAUACUUGCAACUUUUCUCUUAAAAAGGUGAAAGCUUCUACACCUUUUUAAAAAUCAACUUCAUUUAAAAUAGCAUGAGAUGCAGUGGGAUGCUGUUGUAUGGAACAUAUUGCAACUUACCAGAAAAGAGAAGUGAUUAUAGCAAUAACAUGAUGCCAGAGUUGGCAUACAUGGGUCAAAACUGUGAAACUUCUCUUUAGAACUUAGAUACUUGUACGGGAAAUAUCCAUGUGCUGAAGUUUAUAAACAUUGACAAAUAUGUGAUAGAUUUAUUUCAAUAUUCCUGUAUUAUUGUAAUGGUCAUGAUUAGACAUUUAACUAGGAUGAAACUGUCAACGACUUAAUCUUGCAGUAUCAAGCAUUAAAAGUCAAGUAAGCAGGCACUUCCCAUAGCUGAGGAUUUGGAUGAGCAUUGUACAAAUCAUGAUCACAACUUAUUAAAAGAACCCUAAACAAUUGUUUUACUUGUAGCAUUGUUUUAUAGCCUUCAUAAAGACUAUGCUUCAUAUGGUAUCGCUUUUGCAAAUGUUAUUCAGAAUGUGUAUUGUUGUUGUACAGCAUUUUAGCAAAAAAUUCACCAUCAUCUUUUCUCAUAUAUGAAUUUUUGUUCCUUCUUCUCUCUCUCUCCUGCACCCCCCCCGGCCGGAUGUUUAGGGGGAACUUACCAGCACAUGACAAAAUUGGAAGUUGCAACAUCUUGACUUGAAAUUUAAGAGUAUCCAUUUCAGGAUCGUAUUGUAUUUUUCUGUCUUGUCUGUUUUCUGAGCUACCCGGCCCUUGUCUCUGUGCUAUUAGUCGUGUUUGAGACAUAUGCUGUUAUUUUAGAAAAGACAAAUUAAAAAGGGAUUAUGUAUUGAGAUUUAUUCCAGACGGGGCUUGCACCUACAUUGACUGUUGAUCCUCUAAAAUUUGUCAAGUCUUGAGUAAUAUUAAUCUCCCACUGGCCCCUUCUCACAGUUCUGUGUUUUUGCCCUUGUGUUAGCCAUCAUUAUCUGAAGCUAAAAGGCAGAAACUAAAGCAUGAUGCUACAGGGCAACAGCUUUAUACAGGUGCAGAAUUUUAUUAGUUGGUACUAAUUAUUUAAACCAAAUGAUGAUCUGUGUCAUGGGGAAACAAGCCAAACAUACCUAAACUUCACUUUACUGAUGUGGACAAACUUACUGAUGCAGGUAAGGGGACUUCUGAUGUGGGCAGCACUUCAUCCACUGUAACUACAGUUUGUGUGGUUACUACAGUUGAUGUACCUUCACAAGAGAGUCCGAGGGAUAAUGUGGAGGGUAAUGGUGCUGAAUGCAAGGAAAACUUUAAUGCAAACUGGUUAGCACAAGGAAAUGUUGAAGUUUCUGAGAGAAAUCAAGACAAAAACGUCAGCCCUGCUGGCAGACAUGGACUUUUAUUUCCUGAAUAUGAUAACAAGCAAGAGCAGAACUUGCCUGACAGUGAGACAGGAAGCUACAAACAAAAAACUCAGAAUAGUUUGAGCAACUUCAAUAACCAGAAAAGCCUCCACUUGCAACGUCGAUUUUCGAAGCGACUAGCUGGAAUUGAACCAGAGCUGAUGGGAAUCUCAAGUUCCAUUGUUCAAGCAAUUCCUGAAGCUGGUAAUAAGAAAGAGCAAGAGCAGAACCCUCCUGAGAGUGGGAUAAAAGUGGAUGAAAUUUAUGGAGGAAAAACUUUGAAUAGUUUGAGUGAAUCGAAUAACAAGAAAGGGCUUAACUUGCCUCACCAGUCUUCUAGUUGUCGUGAUGUGAUUGAAACCAAGCCAGGUGUCAACUUAGUGUCUAUUGUGCAAGCUCUUCCAAAAACUAUUAAGGCUCAGAAAGGUGAAGCCAUUAUACAUAUGGAUUUGACUUCAGAUGUUGUGACAGAUAAAAGAUCUGACCAAAUGAAUGCUGAACCCAUAACAGAGCUUCCGCCUUGGGCUACCACAAAUGCUAACAAUCCAUUACUUCAAGAGCUAUCAAACAAGAGCCAAAAAUCUGAUACAACCCAAUCUGUACUUCCAAAGGCCAGAGUUCCCAAUCGAAAUCAGUGUAUUGUUAGUGCUGAUAGUGGACCUAUUUUAACUUCUGAAACUACUGUCCAACAAGAGCAGAACUCUCUUCGGGGUGGGAUGAAACGGAAGGGCCAAGAAAAGACGCACAAUACUUUGAGCAAACCAAGUGAUAAGAAACUAAGAAAAGGGUUGAACGUGCCCUGUCGGUCUUCAAAGCGAAUUGCAGGUCUUGAACCUGAGGUGGAAGCCAACACAGGGUCCAAUGCACAGGCUCUUCAGAAUGCAAAAAGAUCUUAUAAAACUGAAGCCAUCCUAGCCGUGAGUUUGACUUCAGACAAAGCAUCUCGCCAACUUGGUGCUGAAUCUGGAAAUGAGUUUCCAAAUCAUGCUUUGACUGAUGUCAAGAACCAAGUGUCUUUUCAGGACACAGCUGUUUCCAGGAACCAAUUGCCAGUGCAGGAAACUGACAAAACCAAUAAUGAAAAUGCAGAACCACAGCUUAUCCCUCCAUUUGGGGAGUUCUGGUCAGAUCCUUGCCUUGAAUUUGCAUUCAAGACUCUUACAGGUGAAAUACCUAUUGAGAUUACUGCUAAAAGUGAAAUGGUUUCAACUCCUGCUGCUGAUAUCAUAGAUCAGAGGAACGCACUCAUGAAAACAAUAGAUAAUAGUAGCAAGGGAAAAACGCAGAUCAACCCAGGAAGACACAAAAAAAGUAAAAGCCUUCUUUUGCCUCAUCAAUCUCCAGAACAAGUUCCAGAGCUUGGAAGUGAACUGACAGGCAGCUCAAUAUCCAAUGCACAUGCUUUUAAAAUGACAGGAAGAACAGCUAGAAAAACAUCCAGUAGAGUUGAACCUGUUCUGGAUUUGGGUUCUCCAGACAAUUUUGUAGCGGGAGCUUCUCAGCAGCUCAAGGCUGGGCCAGAAGUAGCACAUGCACGUUAUUCUACAACUCAAAUUGAGCCUUCAAAUAAGAGGGUAGAGCGCCUUGACGACUGCACUCCAACUGAAAAGCGUUCACAAAAGUUGCAAAUUGAGAAGAAUGGCAACAAGCCAGAGUUACAGCCAAACUUUUCCUUUGGGGAUUAUUGGUCAGACCCGUGCUUUGAAUUUGCAUUCAAGACUCUUACAGGUGCGAUACCAGUAGAUGAUAAUUUGCCAGUUCAGAGUUACUUCCAGCAACAAGUUGACACUUCUCAAAUCCAGAGAGAAGGUUACUUCCAGCAACAAGUUGACACUUCUCAAACCCUGAGGGAAGGUUACUUUCAGCAACCAGUUGACACUUCUCAAACCCUGAGGGAAGGUUACUUUCAGCAACCAGUUGACACUUCUCAGACCCUGAGAGAUGGUAGUUUGGCACUUCCUGAUUGUGGCUUACCCAGCUUUUUUCAAACUGAUAUAUCAGUGCACUUUGAUGCUCCAGAGAAGCAAGCUGCAUCCCAAACACGAGUACCCUUGAAUAAUCCUUCCUUCCUACCUUCUGGAAGUGUGAGCUUACCUAGUUGCAGUAACAUUGGUUCUCAACAACCAACACACUUGAAGGAGAAUAAGGGAAUGCAGGGGAAGGUGAACUCCUAGAGUCGAGGUAACUUUUUUACCAGUUUGGAAGUAUUAAAAUUAUCUGUGAUAAUAUGCAGCCUUUUCCGAUCAAUAACCUUUGUGGUUAUAUUUUAGCUUUUGUAAUCUAAUAUUGAAUACAAUUUGAACUGUUGUAAAAUAGUCUUUCAACUUUGGUAGCUCGUUCAGAUGUAGGGGGAUCACCAUGCAAAAAGUUUUCACUAAUGCGAUAUGUUGUACUUUCUUCCCUUUUCACAUCAAUGAAUAGAAAAUCAAGUUUUUUUUUUUUUUUUUUUUUUUUUGUAAUUUUAUUUUAUUUCUUGAAGCAUCAAGGGUCCAAACGUUCUCUGCUCCUUGUGUAAUAGCAGAUAGUUCAUUAAUUCAUAUUUUACUGAAAGCAUUUUAUAAUAGUUGUCUUUAUGGAUUACUCCUGUUGUAGUUUAUAUGUAGUCUUGUAUUGUUUAUUCUUUUUACACGCAUGCAGAGACUUCACGAAAUGGAGGAUGUCUUCUAUGCCUUUUGUCUCUCUAUGUUCCAUAUUCUUGCUUGCGGUAUAGCAGAAAGGCAAGCACUGAAAACAGAUUUACUAAAUUAUAUUUUAAACUUAUAAAUUUCGCUCGAAGCUAAUUAAUACAUUAUAAUUUUGAAUAGAAAUAUAUCCUAUAAUUUCAAUUUGAUAAAAAAAUAAUAAGUCCACCUCCUAUUUUCAUUGGCAUAAACUUUUUUUCUAAUAAUUUUUACAAUUCUUUAUUAUUAUUAUAGACUAAAUGAUACGAGAAUUUUCAUUCUAAUCCAUCUGUACGGCCGGAAAAUUUUACUCCUACAUGAAGAAAAAAUUAUUAUCUCCGGUACUUUUUGCUAGAAUUCUCAAGUUACCAGUAUUUUUUGCUAGAGGAGACAAGGGAAGCGUUAUUCCCUGAUGCAGCAGUUACAUAUUCGCUCUGAAUUCUGUAAAAUGGACAAAUGGGGGCAAAUGGGAAACGGAUUACUAUUAUUAUGCGAAGCGCAAAUCCAAGUCAAUCAACACCAAAAUAUUCUUAAAACACAUUGACAUUACAUCAUGAAAACAAGUCCUCGCAACACAUUCGACAUUAAAUCAGAGACUUUGCCAUUUCCAAACUGGCCAACAAGUUUAAUCCUUGCCGUUUCCAAACCAAGGUGCUUAUUAGAAAGCUACUGAAGACUGUUUCCAUCCUCCAAAGCUUUCCUCCUCCGCCUCGUGACCAUGGUUACAGUUUUCCUAGAAUGAGGAACAAGAAACAACACCCAUUGUCAUUACUGCUUGGAAAAACUAGAAGAAACAAGAUUUAUCUGUCCAAUCCAAUGCUUGUCCAACAGGAUAUGAACCAACAAGAGGUGACUAACAUGCUUUGCUAACUGGAACGAAGCAAUUGCCAACUCAAGCAUCUUCAACUUCAUCUUUCCCAUAUGCUAAGGUAGAAAUAUAGUGAUUAGUAAUUACCUGAGGGGUGAAGGUGAGGCCCACUCUAAUCUCUCCCUUGUACUCUUGAUCUUUGAUGACAUUGUAUGCCGUUGGUGGGAGUUUUCCUUCCAUAAACAAUGGCUCAAGUGGAAUGCUGCAUAUGUGUCAGAAUCCAAAUCCCGGAUGUUAUUUGUUGUUUUCUAUAGAAAAUUCAACCAAAAUUUUUAAAGAUCCUUUAUUAUUAUUAUUAUAGAUAGGGAACUUGCACUCACGUUGCUUUUCCAACAAAAUCAUCUGCAGUACCAAAAUCACUGUCCAAGAUUUUCAAUGUGAGUUCUGUGACACCAUCUGUUAUCGUAAAUACGAAAUUCUCAUUCCAUUCUGGUUCACUCCCUUUCCCUGUAGGUUUUUAUUUUGUCAAUAUUGCACAAAUAGUAGAUAAUUUAUUUGUGCAUCAGAAUGUUUAAGGGGAAGAUUAUGAUCUCCGGCACUGGGUACAAAACUCUCCAACACUUGCAAAGCUAAUAGCAUACAUAUUAAAGGCAUAGUUUUGCCAACAACAAAGCAAAUAUUAACAUAUUACUUGAACUUUUCUAAUCUAAUCUGAUCAGUAAAUAUUAGAAAAUGUAACUAGGGAUUCAGAGCGAUUAGAGACAUAACUACCUGAAGCAACACUGCUUUUCUGCUCCUGGCUACGACAAGUGAGGACGACAUAAGGGUCCAUGUUAUCUGCUCAUAUGAAUUUUAACCUCAUCAAACACCAAUCCAUAAUUAUCAAUAUUAUGAGGAGUAAGAAAAUACCACAAACACCUAAACAACAUGCCGCUGGUAGACCACACCGAUUGAUUCAGAUAGAUGGAAGAUCGUUAAUGUGAACAAAAUUAUAGAUCAAGAUCAGCGCACAAAUUGGUAGAUCAAAUAUCUACUAACAUCUCUCAAAUGUGGACACAACUGAUCUCAUUACCCACAUCAUUUGAAAAUCAACAAACAAAUGAACUUGAUGGAGAUAUAUAUAGACUUACUGAGAAAAUCGGUGUUUUCAAGACCCUUAGCACCAACAAGAAGGACUUCAAGAGUUCCGUGAGGCAUAUUUGGACCACAAUUGAGAGAGAUGGAUCCCAAAGAAAUGCCUUAAAAUUUAGAGUAACUGAGGUAAAGAUGAGAAUUUUAUUGGAUCUCGCUUUUGGGUAUCUUAUAAAAGUAAAAAAGAAGAGUAAUGAUCAACGAGGAGGAGAACAAUGUUUAUUAUUUAUAGGGCAAUUUGUGGUUUAAAUAUUUUUAUUUGAAGUUUCCAAGACAAGGAAAUAGCCUACUAGCUAAAAAAAAUGGCAGAAAUGUUUUUUAUUCAUCAUAUCAACGGUCAAAAGGAAAUUUAUAACAUGUCAAUUGCUUCUCCCUCUCAUCUUCUCUCCAACCAGUUUCUUAUUGUGAGUUCUUUUUUUUUUCCAAAUCAUGUAAAAUCUGUGAAAUCGAAUGAUUUUUUUUUUUAUCAAAUACAAAAGAUGUGUGAAUGGAAAGAUAAUUGGGCUGAAGCCCAUUAAAAGUCAGAAGAAGGCUUGAAACAUACUAAGUCCAAAUAUAUAAAUCAGCCCAGGCCUAUAUGCAGAACCCCCAAAACUGUAACCAAGUAAGAAGAUUAUGGAGCUUCUCUACCGUGCCAUCUGAGCAGCUUCAGCUAUCAGGGACCAAACUUGGGAAUAACAGCUCCAUCUCAGAGAACCAUAACCACUUGUAAUCUCAAAUCGAUCCAACCAUCAAAUCUAAAAAAGAAUUAUAAAUCCAGCCAAGUAAGACAGAGUUGUGAAGCCUUUCUUUCAACCGCAUCGAAGGGGAGAAGAGAACCAAAAGCCACCGACAAUCAACAGCCGUGUGAGAGAGGAGUGAUUGAGGGUUACUAUUUACUGCUACGCUUGAUAUCGACCUUAAGAGAUAGCUUCCUUAUUUUGAUAGAAUGACAAAAAAAUCUAAUAAUCCCAAAUCAUUAUAAAUAAAAGAGAGAGUAGGAAUUCAUGGACAAAAUGUAACCCUGUAAUUGGUUCCACCAGGAGCAGUAAACGUGCUGGAUUCAUCAUCCAACGGAUAACUAUAAGCAUCAGGGCA
This 47394-nucleotide long non-coding RNA is filed under the name Manihot esculenta (cassava). Its description in RNAcentral is "long non-coding RNA (MESC_LNC000756)". Lineage: Eukaryota; Viridiplantae; Streptophyta; Magnoliopsida; Malpighiales; Euphorbiaceae. The record is from RNAcentral.